RNAcentral lists this long non-coding RNA (84079 nucleotides) under Vitis vinifera (wine grape). RNAcentral's name for it is "long non-coding RNA (VVIN_LNC004393)". Lineage: Eukaryota; Viridiplantae; Streptophyta; Magnoliopsida; Vitales; Vitaceae. The record is from RNAcentral.
GCUAUAGCCAUAGAAAAAAUGAAAAGGGUUUAGUCACCUAAAGGCAAAGCAUGAAGGAGAACAAGAAUCAUAGUUGAGCUCAUAAGAUUGAGUUUUUCAAGCUUACUGGUUAGGUUGAGUCGGCCAUCUAGUGCCCAGCUUAGCUCCAAGGUGUUUAUUGUUGAUGCAUAGGUAGUGGCAUAAUUUGAAGUAUAGUAAUUAAUUCCUAAGAAAUCCAAUGAUCCCUUAAGCAUUUCGGAUUCUGCUGGCGAGAAUUUGGGCAGUCGAUGCCCCACAAGAGAUUGCAUGGUCAUUGGGUACUCGCCAUAUGUGAUUGGAUGUAAAAACCUAAAAAAAAAAAUUAAAAAUUAAAAAAUUCAUAUAAAGGUUAAUCAAUGAGAAAAUAUUCCAAACUAAAUAUUUAGAAUGAAAAAUGAUAUUUGAUAAAUUAACUUCAUGACUUAAUAUGAAUUAGUGACUUAAAGACUUAAAAUUAAGUAAUUAAUUAAAUUAAGCAUGUUUUAAGAAAUAAUCUAAUAUCAUAACUUGAAGUUAAAAAUAAUUUUAAGUAUUAAGUCAAAAUAUUUAAUUUAUUCUAAAUUUUAUAUAUAUAUAUAUAUAUAUAUAUAUAUAUAUAUAUAUAUAUAUAUAUAUAUAUAUAUAUAUAUAUAUAUUAUUUCAUUUACCAUGUUUAAUAAAAAGUAUAUUUUACAAUUGACUUUACAUUCACAACAAUCUUUGCGUAAAUAUGUUUUUAUAGUUAUUUCAAACAUGUGUAACACAUUAAAUAUAAAUAUUUAACCAAUAAAUUAAUAUUUUAAAAUCAAUGAAAACAUAUAAAUAUUAAUCAAUUAGUGAAGGUAAAAAUGUCAAUUUAAUAAUUUAGAAUAAAUUUUAAAUUAAUAAUUUAAGAAUAAUAUUAAUUUAAUUUAAACUUGAGUAAUUAAAUAAUAAGAAUUAAGUUUUACCAAACAUCCAUCAAGUCCUAAAUCAAAAUGGUGGCUUAACAAGACUCACCAUCCUAACAUGAAAUCGAGGGCUCUAUGGGAGGCCUUGACACCCGCAACGGUUGCAUUCUUUGAUUGUAACCAAUGUGUUACUAGGGUUACUCCGAUAAUUCCCUUUUGAGAUUUCUGCAAACAUUCAAAUAUAAUAAUCCAAAACUAUCAAUAUUGUCUGUCUUGAAAAUGAUCUUUAGUUAAUCAAAAUGAAAUGCAUGUAACAAGUCAUAAGCAAAAACCUGAUACUUCUCCUUGUACAAUUUCACUCCAGCAGCAUGAGAAAGAAGUAGGUGGUGUGCCACUUUAUAGGGUUCAGUUGCAGAGUUCCCAGAGGCACAAGUGCCUGAAUAGUUUGAACAUCGGCCCGGUGCAAAAGUCCCAGUUGAGUAGCCAUAGUAGCUAUAGGAGAAUGGCUCAUUCAAAGUGAUCCAAUGCUUCACUCGAUCCCCAAAUUGUUUAAAGCAAAAAUCAACAUAGUUGCGAUAAUCGUCCCUAUAUCAAACCGAAGCUUUUCCUUUAAUUAAAUAGGAUCAUUUUAUGAAAAAUGUAUAGAUGAAGGUAUGAUCAUAUGUUCCAACUUACACUAUUUUAGGGCUUAAGAAUCCACCAUACUCAUCUUCAAGGGCUUGCGGAAGAUCCCAAUGGAAUAGAGUCACAAAGGGCUUCAAUCCUACGUAUGAUAGCAAGAUAUAUAUGAGCAUGCACUAUAAGUUCUUCAAACUAUUUCUCCGAAAUUAUUUUGGAAAACAUAGAAUGUUUCAAGGGAGAUUGGUAAUGACCAUUCGCUAAGAGCUCAUUGAUGACGUUGUUGUAAAAUUGGACACCCUCCUUGCUCACUCCCCCGCUAACUCUUCCAGCUGAAAACAAAAUUCCAUAUAUGUUAACCUAGCUAAUGGAUCAAUUAAUGUCGAUCAUUCAAUCAAAUAUAUAUACAUCAUAUGGGCAUGACCCAAUUUCUUACUUGGUAGUACUCUAGUCCAGGAGAUGGAGAAUCUAAGGGCAUCCAUACCCAAGAACUUCAGCAGUUGAAUGUCCUCCUGUAACAUUAAUUCUAAAGUUAUUUUUCAGAAGUGAAGAUAACUUCCUGUAAAUCCAAGGAUUUGGUCACCGUAAGGAUGAUUGCUAUUCCAAGGCUCCAAAGACAAGUGACAAAAUAUCAUUUACAUUAGGGUUUACCUUAUAUUUAUGAUAAAAAUCAAUGGCUACAUCUCCUGUUGACUGGUCCGAGAUCUUUUCUGUCACAGCACCAAACCUCUUUUCAGAAAUUAAUACUAUGGAGAUUUGUAUGGAAAUAAAAAAAAUAGGCAUAGCUCAAGAACACAAGUCAUUGAUCCUUGAGGUUUAUUGAAUUUGAGACUUUUUUUUUUCUUUGAUUUAAACAAGUAAAAAAAUAAAAAUAAAAUAAACAAGCAAAAAAGGACAAAACUGUAUUUUAUGUCAAUUUUAUUUAUCUUUUUUAAGUUUUUAAUUAAAUACAUCAAAUCUUUAUAGGUUGGAAAUUUUAUUAAAUACCUCUUUUAUUUUAUUUAUUUUUUACUUUCAUUUAUUUAUUUUCAUUCAAAAUAAAAAGAUGUAGGAUGAAAUUUCAAAUUUAGAGAUAUUAGAUAUAUUUAACCAAAACAUAAGAAAAGGUGAAUGACCUUGUAUUUCAGUACCAUCCACCCAUGAUAUAUAUUAUGUAUUUCAGUACCAUCCACCCAUGAUAUAUAUUAUGUGAGAUGCAGAACUUUUGAGGUGUUAAAACUUAAAUGUAAGAUUGAAAAUAAAAUUGUACCAUUCCAAAUCGAAAGCUACACCACACAAGUCAUGUCAGCACCGACCAGUGGUGGUUCUUUUUGGCUGACCCACUGGAAACUAACCUCAAGUUGUACCACACCUGGAAACUUUUGGACCAUGGUAUAUAAAAUUAUCACAGAGAAAUUGAGAAACAUUUAAUGGUCUGUUGCAGUGGUCCUUAUGAUGGGGUCACCCCUGUCAUUAUUCAAGAUUGGCUGCUUCUUUUUUCCUUUUGUUUUUACUAAGCAGUCACUUUCCCAUAUAAAUUGUUUUGGAAUGAAAUGUUAAAUAUGAUCUCUACCAGGUUAUAGAAUUCAAUUGAUGAGAAAAUCUAGAUAGAAUUUGGUGUAUGAUUAGAAUCAUUCAACCCAUGAAUUCAACAAAAUCUUGAGUAUUGCAAUUAAAUUAAAAAAAGGGGGUGUCUUAAGUCAUAUAUGUUAAUUUUCAAAAAUCUAAAUUAUAUAUUCAUAUUUUUUAUGCUUCAUAUUUUUUUUAUGGAAUAACAGGUUUGUCUUAGGAAUGAUAAUGGGAUGAAUUUUUGGAGUACCUACCCCACUUUGUCUCUAAUGAGGUAGGUUUAAAAUUUUAAAUAAACUAUUUAGGGGUGGGUUUGAAAUUUUUAAGAAAAAACUUGGGAUAGGUUCGAGUAUUACCUUAAUUAUCCCAUUCCAUCUCGCCCCAAUUAUUUAUAAAAUUAAUUUUAUUUUUUCAUUUUUAAUUUAAUAAUGAUAAUAAUAAUAAUUAUAAAAUAAGUUAUAAAAAUUUAUAAUAUUUUAAUUAUUUAUAAAAUACAUUUAUUUUAAUAUAAUUAAAAACUUUUAAAUAAUUUUUUUAUAAAGAAAUUAAAAAUUUUUGAAAAAAUAAAUAAAUAAACCCGCAGGUGGGACAUACUCACCCCAAACCAACCAUAUUGUCAUCCCUAGUUUCCCUUAAUCUUAUUACCAAAAUCCAACAAUAAAAUCGAGUUCAAGCUUUGAUUUUUCCUUGUACAGAUCCUAGAUUUUGCAGUGGUGAGGCACAGAAUGAGAAUCCAGUAGGUCCCUCAGCCAUGUCCAGUGUACAAUUUCCAUGGUCCUCAUAAUUUGAUCAUGUCAUGUUCAGGAUCGAAUUAUAACAUAUGUAACUUCUAGACAUUGUUUCACUUUACAGCAAAUGGACACUGUCCAGACAACAGUGUGAAACCUUUAAAGUUCGUCAAUUAUUGAAACUUAGUAAUGUGAUUUAUAAAGUUUACCCUCUACAUUGUAAGCUUAAUAAUGGAACUUUUAACUAAUAUUUCAAACAUUUGAAGCAAAAUCAAUGAGAAAUUGUAAAUGAAACCAUGGAAUCAAAGUCAUCUUCUAAUAAUAAGUGAUGGUAUGUUUUUGAGAUUUGAAUCCCUUUAACACAUGCAUUUUCUGGGACAACAUUUAAAUAUACCAAACAAUCAUGUGCCUGCAUUGAUUUAUGUUCAGCAGGCUGAUGUUUAGUUUAGUAGUUGUGUUACAUCUUUCAGGCAAAACCAUUGAAUUAUUCUUAGACAACUUGUCCAAAAUUCCAAGAAAAUGCACGUGCCAAGAGACUUGUUAUGCACAUUAUAACCUGAAUAGAUAGGAAAAAUAAUUUUCUAGCUGUUAAAUAACUAGAUUUUUUUUUUUUUUUUUUGUGACCUAUCCUUGAACCAUUAUGAAUCGCUAAAAUUAUCAUUUAUCAUUAUGGUUGUACGUUCUUUGCCAAGAUUAGGCCAAACUGAUGAUGAACCAGGGUUCAGAGAGAAGAGAGGACCUGGAUAUUUUGCAGUGAAGGUGUCCCAGAUACUCUUGCCUCUAAGAUGUGCUGCUCCUUCAUACUGAGAUAAUAGUAUACAAGUUAAUGCAUAUAUUGAGAAAACCUUGUAGCCCUAAGUCAAUGGAAAAUGUUGGGGUUGUACCUGGUAGGCUGAUGAGGCUGCUCCAAAAGUAAAACCGGGUGGAAAGCUAUGUCUGCUGAACAUAGCCGAGGGCUUUACACCAUGGCAAUGGGCAAAGGAGAGGACUAGGACAAGGGCACAGAAGAGAAGGGGACCUUGAGUGGCCAUUGCGGAGUUUGCUACACACAAAUUUGCUUUUGGAACUCUCUAUAUAUAGAGAAAGCUAGAAGCAAAGGAUAAGAUAUCUUCAUGGAUAUCGAUAUGAGACCUAGUACAAUCAUCGUAUACACACGUAAGUAUUAAUUUGAAUAGGUCAUUAAUUAGCAUAUAAGUAUAUGAUAUCACAUAAUCCCUUGGAUCUACUUAAAGCCGACAUGGAAUAGUACUACCGGAGAUUUUUAUCCUUAUCUCAUUCUUUAAUCUUUAUUUACCCAAGUUGUAAAGUAGAUGGCUCGACCAGUCUUCUUGGUUUAUUAGCAAUAAGGUACCUUGAGUUUUCAUUCAAGCUAAGAUGAUUCUGUCCAGUUGCUCAGCAUGAAUUAAUACAAUAAUUUAUUAGACAUGUUGUAGCUACUGCCAAUAACUUCAAUCAUACAUAUAAGAAAUCCAUGAGUUUCUUUUCAUAGCAGGAUAUAUAAACAGCCAUGGUUGAAUAAGUUCAAGUCCUUCCUUUAACCUCUCUAUAUAAUAGGGUUUCGGAUAAUUAGCAAGUAACCCAUGAACAAUUCUGGAUAUAUGUGUUAAUUUUAGACCUUGCAAGACAUUUUCUAAAAGAUUGCUGCUAGCUAUUCUCCAAAUUCCUAAUAGAUUAAAGGGAUUAAAAUAUGACAAUUGUGAAAAGAAUCGGUGGUCAUUAAUUUAUAUAUUAAUCGAAGAUAUCCUUAUGAAAAUUUGUAGAAAUAUAUAUUACGGUCCAAGUAUGAAUUAAAUACAAUCAUUUAUUGUAGAAAUACUACUUAGAUACAAUCAUUUAUUGUAGAAAUACUUCACAACUAACAUUCUUCAUGAUUAGUAGAUAUAUAUAUGUGCAUAAUUGUUAUUCAUAACCAAUGGUCUAUUUCCCAUCUUACCAACUAGUCAUUAACUGCAACCAUCAUCACAAUGCAAGCUAGUUUGAAGAUAAUGCAAAUGUCUUGAAGAUAGUGUAAAGAAAAGCAAAAACCUAUACAACAAAAUCUUUAUUGUUCAAAAAAAUUUCUUCAAAUUGUUUAUUCGAUAGAUUGAAUCACAUGCCAUGUAACUCUUAUGCAAAAUUUAUUGAAUCUUGUUGAAAACGAUUCGGAGCAUUUGACAAACACAACAUUGGCUAAAUCUCUUUUAGGAAAAAAAAGAAAAAAAAAAGUUGAAAGAAAGAAAAAAGAAAAGUUGAAAGACAAAAGGAGAAUCUCUUGUUAAGAUGAUGGCUUGAAUAAAACCUUUGCAUAUAUAGUAUAUACAUUUUAGAUAUUGAGCACAAAAAUCUAGAAGAAGAUAUCUUUUCUUACUCAUAAGAGUUAUCUAUUAACUAAAUCAUGCACAAAAAAAAUAAAAAAUAAAGAAAAAUACAAGAUUUUUAAUGUGGUUCAGUGAUCAAUGUGGCAUCUAUGUCCACAAAGUGUAUUGACAUUCAACAAUCUACUAAUCAAAGGAAAAAUGAGUAUAAUGGUCAAGCUCUUGAUAAAAAAUUCUCAAUUAUAACCAUACUAGCUGUCACACCCCCAAAUUUCACCUUAAGUUUUUCACUAGGUGUGUGGUGCUAAGGACCCUUCCUUAGCCAACCUUUCUUCCCAGCUUUCUUAAAACACAAAGCAAAAGCAAAGUGAACAGGGACACAAACAAGGUUACGGGAAUCCUUCCCAACUUGUAUUAAACUCAACUACAAGAUACAAAAUUGUUUCCCCUGAGUUAGAGAACAAUGCUUACAUCCCUAAGCAUUCAGAGAACUCUAUUCCUUACUCUUCUCUCCGCCUUCUCAAGGAUGUAGGAGCCCUUUUAAAAGACCUAGCCUGUAGUUUUCAUCUUAUGGUUAUGCAACUGGCUACAACCGCCAGGAACCGCUUGCAUAACCACCCACCACCCGGAUGGUGGUCUGCUCAGGAAGCACCCACUUGCACCAAGCAUUAGCACCUCAACCAACUACCAACCCAUGUAGCUGAUUGAUGACUGAGUCACUUGCUGUCCCAGCUCUGGCUAGCUGCCAUCUCUUCAAACCCUUCUCAUCAAGCUGCUGGAGAGUCUUCCCCUAACAAGCUGCCUCCUUCCCCAUAAGGUGCCACUUAUGAUCGGGUGCCCACCAACGUGUCUUUGAUCAAGGCUUUCUGAACUAUGCAGCAUGCACCAACCAGCCGACCAAACCUGGUACAUCAGUGUGCCUUCCCCCACACUGAUGUGUGAGCCCAAGCCAUGUCAAGGUGCCCAUGGCUUGGGCAUGUUGCUAGCUCCUACUCGUCAAGUCCAGCUUCAUAACGACGAGCCAUGGCAUUGUGCCCAUGGUUGUUCCCUCUUAGUGCAUAGGGCAUUAUGCCCCUGUGUUGUGAGUAGGUGUCAUGGUGAGUCAACUGCUUGUCUAGUGCCCCAUCAGGCCAUGGCAUUGCGCUCAUGGUCUUCUCAGUUGGCUCUCUUGCACAAGGCUUAGGCACCCUCGUGCCUACACGGGGAUGAGGUAGGCCGCACUAGGCCCCGUGUCGUUGCCGCCACGGGGUGCACGUCACACAUGUCAUGGAGCCCAUGUGUACGUGCUCAAGCGUCAUCUGUGUGUCCCAGGCACGCCUAAGGCCAUGCCAUGGUGCCGCCUUGGUGUGGUCAAGGUUUUCCCUUGGUGCUCCCCUCCUUGAGUCACCUACCCCCCCUUAAAGAGCAAUACAUGCCGUUUUCAUAGUUUCUGGAGGAGACAUCAAUAUGCUUGAGGAGACAUAAUGGAAUAUUUAAAUAAAUAUAAAUUAAAUUUCCAAAAUGCCCCUUAGCUUCCAUCUGCACCAACUUCAUAGCCCAUAUAGCUUGGUGCGAGCGUGGUGCCUGUUUGGCUCGCCUGUGGUGUGCGCGCGAUGCGCGUUUGGCUCACCCGCGGUGCCCAUCUGGCCCGCCCACGGUCUCUUCACUUAGCUCCUAGGGUUUGGACCACCAAACCUCCAGGCUUUCCUUACUUUCCGCCUAGGCUCUCAUGUGUGGAAGGCCUACCCAUGAGGCCUAUUUUUCCAAAUCUAAGUCAAGUGGCUAAGAGGCUGACACUAGCUCACUAACAACCAAAACCCUAAAACAUAAAAAUGUUAAAUAUAUAAUAAGGGGACAACCUAUUAAUCAUCACAUAAAAAAAAAAAAUUCUCCAAGGGCACUGCCCCUUCAUUCCUACGAGUUGAUUGGGCAGCUCUUGAACGAAGUUCUAUAAAGUUGAGACAACCUUCAUGAUAAACAUUUUCUGUAUCAUGUUGAAUCCAAAUAACAAUAAAAAUUUAACAAAAAAGUUCACAAGGGCAUAGUGAGGAGUUAUGCCUUGAGGGGGAACUUCUUGAAGCAAUAGAUAGAGUAUUUGAGAUCUCUUCUUAGCCCAUAUUUUAAGUUUGCGUAAGCGAUGCCAAAUCAAAGUUUUUCCAAAUUGAUCAAUUGCCUUCAAUAAAUAUAUAUAGACUUGGUUUUCUGGACUAGAUCCACUCACAUAUUUAUUAUGGUGUCUAUUCAUAUAUGCUAUGGACAAGUUUGCCUUAGUGCUCAUUAGCAAAGAGAUGGAGUACAUACUGCUUGACCCAUGAACACUCCAUUUUUCUCUAGUAUAGAAUCGAAGUUAUUUGUGAUGUGAGCAGAAACACUAUGAUUAAUUAAGCUCAUGAGGGUUACAAUUUCUUGAGCUUACCAAUAAGCUUAAAGCAACUAUCAAUAUUGUAAUUUAGGUUGGCACCAUCUAAGUAUGCUAAGUUAUCUGCUAAAUUACUUAAUUUAGCAUAGGCUUUUCCAACUUGACAUUGGGUUCAAAAUUAUAUUCAAUAGUGCUAAAUUACUAAUUAACCUAAAUACUUUAGAUAAUAAGUAUAUCACAUGAGGUCAUUUGACAAAAUUGUUAAAGAACUUUAAGCCAUGAGGUUUCACUAUACUAAUUAAAUUUCCCUCAUCAAAACCAAAAUAUUGUUAUAUCAAAUUAUAUCACAAAUAGUCAUUGUGAUGAAAAAAAAUGUUUAAUCAAUUAAUUGGUUUAGGCAAACAAGGAUGGUCUUACUAGGUAAUAAUUUGUAUGUACCAUUUUAAUUAAUUAAUAUAAUAAUUUUUUAUUUCCCGCUCCAUGGGAAGUAAUAUAAAUAUUUUAACAUAAUACUUCCACAAAUUCAUAGAAUUUUCUUUGUAUAAGUUUGUUAAGAGUAGAAAAUUGUUUUUAAAAUCAGUGCUUAACAGACUCCGAACUUUUUAUAAUAUUAAGAGUUUGUUUGACAGUGAUUUCAGAAGCAUUUUUAUCCUAAAAAGUGCUUUUGAAAAAAAAAUUUAAGUGUUUUGACAAAAUUUACAAAACAUUUUUAAAAUUUUAAAAAAUCGCUUAUAGUUUUUAAAAUUUACUUGUAAUUUUUUAUUUUUUUAGAAACACGGUGAUUCUCCUAAAAACACUUUUAAAGAAAACACUUUCAUUAAGAACACUUUAAGUAAAAAUACUUUCAAUGCAUUGUAAGAGUAUAUUUGACAGUAUUUCUACUUAAUGUGAUUUUAAUAAGAAUACCAUUUUCUAUGAAAGUGUCUUUAGAAGAAUCAUUAAUAAAGUAUUUGUCCAAAAAACAUUUAAAGUGAUUUUUCAAAAUUUUAAAAAUAUUUCUUAAAAUUUGUCAAACACUUAAUUUUUUUUUUUUUUUGGAUAACUAAUUAAAAGGGAUGAAAAAUUGAAAUUACAAAUCUAACCUUUAACUUUUUUUAACCCAAAAAAUAUCCAUUUUGGAUAAAAACACCAUCACUUUUUCUUAUAAAAAUAAUAUUUUCUUUUAAAACACACAUGAAAAUAUUGAAAGAUAUUUAUAUCAAAAACUUAUUACUCUUCAAAUUCAAAAAUAGAAGAGUCUAGUUUUACAAAUUUGGGAUCUUUCAUCCUUUUAAUCAAUUAAUCAAUUUUUUUUAAAAACAUUUUUAAAUUAAAAGCCCUUUUUAAAUCACUACCAAAUAGACUUUAAUCCGUUUAGCCUGUUGUUGGAGAUAAAUAGCUUAGUAAAUGAAAAUUUUACUGAUCAACUCCUAGAAUUUAUCUUUCUCUAUUGAUGCUUUGCCUUGGACAAUUUAUCACUAUAAACUACAAAUUCUCAUUAUUUGUAAAUAAAGAAUAAAGACCUUCUAGUAAAUAUGGUGUGGAUUUUUUUUUCCUUUUUAACCAUAUACAACUCUACAUGCAAGCUGUCUUUGAGCCACCCCAUCAAAUCAAUUUCUUCAUUCUGAGCCAGAGUUGGUACAUGCUACUACCAAAAUAUUAAUUUAUGACGCUCGAUUUCUAAAAAGCGCCAUGGAAUAAGGUAAUAAGAUGGUUUUUUUAUAAAAUUAGUUUAACCUUACGCUUCUCAACGAUGGCGCCAUCCAAAACGCCAUCGUAGGCAUUGCACAGCAUCCUUGGUGCUUUCUAAAGUGUCAUCGUAUGCAAAGAUCAGCCUUGGCACUUUUUUUGAGUGUCAUUGAAUGUAAUUAUAUAUAAAUUUCAUCUUUUUCCCCAAUCUUGCCCACACAUGCACCCCGACAAACCCAAUAUCAUAGGACCCCUAAACCUAACCACCAUGCUUGGCUCUCACCAGCCACUAAUCGGCGAGCUUAACUGUUGCUUACUUCCGCCCACCACUAGCCGCAUCACUCCGAUAAACAACAAACCUAACCCAGAGUGCUUUGGAUGGUUCCAGGACAGGUAAUGUAAAGAUUGAGUGGAGAUUGGGCUCCAUGGUGUUGAGAUUAGAGCUAUAGUGGGAAGCGAUGUGGACUCUACCGUGCAGCAGCAGCAGAUUUUUUAUUAGUUCGGGUGAGAUUACAAUUUGAUCACCUCUCGAUCUUUUAUUAUCUUUUUAUUUUUAGUUUUUUGGUCUUCCUGUUAACAUAUGGAAACCUAAACUAGCUAAGAUGGUGAGAAAGUCAGAAAACAUAAGGAAGGUGAAAGAAAUUCCAGCAUCCUUUCUUUUCCUUUUUUGCCCUUUUUUUCAUCUUCCCAUAAAAAACUAAGAGGACUAAAGGGAAAUCUACAAGCAAAAACCCAAAAAAAAAAAAAAAAAAAAAAAGAAAAAAAUUCGAACUUUACUUCUAGGUUUAUAUUUGAGUGUGGAAAGCUAUAUUACAAGAAUCCGUUUUGGCAUCAAAUAAAAUUGAGAGCAAAUACCUUUAUUUCUUAUUUACUAUUUUUUUUGGCAUCAACGAUAGAAAAUUGCCUUUUUAGCACUAUACUAGACAAUUGAUUCUAUGACAUGUUCUCUUUAUCUUGUUUAUAGCAUAUUUUAUUUGAUGCUUGAAUGGAUUUUUAAUUAUUUAAGAACUUAGAAUUCUAAGUUUAUGCCAUUGAACUCUAUACCAUGAUACCUCAAGUAAAAUAGUCAUUUUAUUGUUAAAAAAAUUCCAUCCUUCAUUUCACUAUAUUUUUAACCAUUGUUUAAAUCUAUGCAUGGCCUCUCGCUAAGGGGGUGAUGAAAUUUCAAAUAUUUAUAGAAAGUAGAUAUAUUUAAUAAAAAACAUAAGAAAAGGUGAAUGACCUUGUAUUUCAGUACCAUCCACCCAUGAUAUUAUGUGAGAUGCAGAAUUUUUGAGGUAUUAAAUGUAAGAUUGAAAAUAAAAUUGUACCAUUCCAAAUCGAAAGCUACACCACACAAGUCAUGUCAGCACCGACCAGUGGUGGUUCUUUUUGGCUGACCCACUGGAAACUAACCUCAAGUUGUACCACACCUGGAAACUUUUGGACCAUGGUAUAUAAAAUUAUCACAGAGAAAUUGAGAAACAUUUAAUGGUCUGUUGCAGUGGUCCUUAUGAUGGGGUCACCCCUGUCAUUAUUCAAGAUUGGCUGCUUCUCUUUUUUUUCUUUUUGUUUUUAGGUUAUAGAACUCGAUUGAUGAGAAAAUCUAGAUAGAAUUUGGAAUAUAAUUAGAAUCAUUCAACCCAUGAAUUUAAUAAUGUUGAAAUUUGUGCAACGAUUUAUGGUAAAAAGUAAUUAGAAAAAAAAAAAGAACAUACAAAUUUAACAUGGUUCAACUAAUUACCUACGUCCAUGAAAUAGGGAAGAUCAUUUUAGGAUUACAUAAAAAGGUAUUUAUACUAAUCAUUUGAAAUAAAAUUUCAAAAAUACCCCUGAACCAUAUCCCAUUGCCAUCCCUAGUUUCUCCCAAUCCUAUCAACCAAAAUCCAACAAUUAAAUCAAGUUCAAGCUUUGAUUUUUCCUUGUACAGAUCCUAGAUUUUGCAGUGGUGAGGCACCUGAAAAUUUCCAGACAUUUGGGACCAGCCUGCACAAAAUGAGAAUCCAAUAGCUAGGUCCCUCAGCCAUGUCCGGUGUACGAUUUCCAUGGUCCUCGUAAUUUGAUCAUGUCAUGUUCAGGAUUGAAUUAUAACAUAUGUAACUUUUAGACAUUGUUUCACUUUACAGCAAAUGGACACUGUCCAAACAAAAGUUUGCGUCACUUAGCUAGUGUGAAACCUUUAAAGUUCGUCAAUUAUUCAAACUUAGUAAUGUGAUUUAUAAAGCUUACCCUCUACAAUGUAAUAGGGUUUUAGUCCCUCCUUUAACAAUUCUGGAUAUAUGUGUUAAUUUUAGACCUUGCAAGACAUUUUCUAAAAGAUUGCUUCUAGUUAUUCUCCAAAUUCCUUAUAGAUUAAAGGGAUUAAAAUAUGACAAUUGUGAAAAGAAUCAACGGCCAUUCAUAAGCGGUGUCCAUGGAUCUUAUGUCCAUUAAGUCCACAUUUGGAAUUUUCUAAAGAUCGAUCAUGAUUUACGACUAGUGAGGUCAAUCUCUAACCAUUGUCAUACACUCUAGUGAUAUUAACGUUGGACCAGAUGCAUCCCCAAAAACUAAAGCUAAUGGGAGGUAGGGGUAGCUCUAUAGAUAAGACCCAACCAACAUUGGUAAUCAAUUGAUGUGAUGAGCUAUUUAACUUCUUUUCCUCCCACGAUAGACAGGUCCAUUGAAUUGUUUAUAUAAAUGAAUUAGUACAAUGUGAGUUGAGUCAAACCUUGCUUUCAUGCCACAUGGAUCACAUAUACAUCCAAAAGUUUUAAAGCUAUUAAGAGGUAAAGGUAACUCUACAUAAGUAAACCCAACCAUCAUGGUACUCAGUUGAUACAGGACACUUGACUUACAUAAAUCCUCCGUCAUCUAGUACCUACUUUUGAAAGGAUCUUCUAUUAUCCUCUCUAAGUCUUUGCAUUACUGGUCAAGAACAAUCCCAUCCACAUUUCCUCUUAUAUUAAACAUUAAUUUAUACAUUAAUCAAAGAUAUCCUUGAGAAGAUUUGUAGAAAUGUAUAUUACGGUCCAAGCAUGAGUUAGAUACAAUCAUUUAUUGUAGAAAUACUCCGGAACUAACAUUCUUCAUGAUUAGUAGAUAUGUGCAUAAUUGUUAUUCAUAACUAAUGAUCUAUAUCCCUUCUUACCAACUAGUCAACAACUGCAACCAUCAUCAUAAUGCUAACUAGUUUGAAGAUAAUGCAAAUGUCUUGAAGAUAGUGCAAAGAGAAGCAAAAAUCUAUACAACAAAAUCUUUAUUCUUCAAAAAAAUUUCAUCAAAUUGUUUAUUUAGUAGAUUGAAUCGCAUGCCAUGUAACUCUUAUGCAAAAUAAAGAGUUACUUAUUUAGUGGAUCUUGUUGAAAAACAAAUUGGAGUAUUUGAUAAACACAACAUUAGCUAGAUCUCUUUCAAGAAAGAGGAAAAAAAAAAUUGAAAGACAAGGGGAGAAGCUAAUGUUAGGAUAAUGGCUUGAAUGAAACCUUUGCAUAUAUGGUACAUAUGUAAUGCCCAAAACCUAAUUUAGGGGUAAAAUCAUAAUUUAUAAAUUAUUAAUUAAUUAAAGUAAUUUAAUAUGGGUAAAAAGGUCUUUUUGUAUUUCAAACCCCUAGAUAUAAAUUAGAUAUUUUCUAUCUUUUCUUAAACUUUCAGGUAAAAUUUUUAUUCCUUAAAUAAAUAUUUUUAUAUUCGUUAAUUAGUUUUUAACACUUUAGAUAUUUUUUGGAAUAUCUCAAUUUUGAUUAGAGUUCGUUUAAUUAAUUUUUAGGUCAAAAAUAUUAAAAAUUUAUGAACAUAAUUUGAUUUAUUAAUGGAAAUCGAUAAAUUUUGAUUACUCAAAUGAAUAGAUGUAAAUAAAAAAAAAUUAUAUAGUUUCAUAUGUGAAAAUUUCAUAAAAUUUGUGAGUAUGAAGGUUAAAAGUUUUGACUUUAGAGAAGAAAAAAAAAAUGAUGAAAGAUGUGUAGGAAGGAUUUGGUAUGUUGAAAAAAAAUUUGCAUGGGGUAUUUGUUAAGUUUCAGUAGGAGAUUUAAAUAAUAAUAAUAAUAAUAGUUUAAUGCAAAUAAAUAUUCUUAAAAGAUUUAAUUAGAUAAGUUAGAAAAAAAGAAAUAAAUUUUGUGCAGACCCCAUUUUGGGCUCAUUUUUUUUAAUUUUCUAUAGGGUUUUUCUUACCAGGUGGAGCAAUUCUGGGUGGUCACGUGUCGCUUCAAGAUUGGCUGCUAUGGAAUCAAGUAGUGGUUUGAGAAACCAAUGAGAGGUCGACAUGUGGAGGAAUAUUAUGAGAGAGGAGUGUGUUUUCUGUUGCGGGAGCGUAUGCUAACAGCUAGGGAAGGUGUGGUGUCUUCAUUGCCGUUUUAGGGAGAUUUUUUUAGGAGAGGAGGGUUCUUAGCUUGGAGAGCAAGCCAAGGGGAGGGGAACGCAGGGUUUGAUAGGGUUUUCUUUUUGGAGAGUAAGUUUUUCUGGGAGCAGGGGGUGUCUUCGUGGUUGGGUUUUUCAAAGAGAUAUUUUGGAGGUGUAGGUUUUCUUGAGAGGCCUUCUGUCGAGAGAAAGAAUAUUCAUAGGGGAUUCUCUUGUUUGGGAGUCAAGUUUUUACUACUGGAGGAAAAUCAGAGAGUGAAGCUAGCUUGGGAGAGAAAGCUUGCUGGUGAAGAAGUUUUUGCUAGUUUUAGGUAAGGCUACCUUGAGUUUGGCACGUUUCCGUCUCUGGAUGUCUUGCAUCAUUCUCUGUUGAUCCAUGAACAUUAUUUUGUGAUUUUGCUGUGGACAUUUAGGGCCACAGGGUUGUUUGAGUUGAACACGAUUGCUUGCAUAUACAUUGCUUUGUUUUUUGUUCUCUCUUAACAUUCUUAAUCUUAUCUCCUGUAAAAGGCUGGAUCCCCAUUUUAGUUUGAUGUUUGAUGGUUAUAGUGAGCUUGUUUAUCCCACCUGUUCCGAGCCCAUGGAUCGAUCUUGGGACGUGACUUCAUUGGUUUUCUAUUCUUCAUGAUUGUCAUCUUCCUCCAUCCUCUGUUUUUCUUGCAUUAUGUGUCUUUGCUCAGAUAGAGACAUUCCAGUUCCCUAGUAGCUGCUUCAUCAAUGCUUCGUAUGGGUUGAGAUUUAUGGGGGGGGCAAAGGUGAGUAAGUUUAUGUUAAAGAAGCUCACAAAUGGUAUGAUGACUGGUUUCGUUUCAGCAUUGUUUUUAGAGGAGAAAAACCGAAUGAAAUCUGAAAAGUAACCGGGGAAAUCAAGCUUGAAUGAAGGGGAAUGGUUCAUCACUUAAUGGCUGCAACGUAGAAAAUGGGCAAAUGAGUGCUCAGGCAGACGCGUGUUUCGACAUGAUUGGAUAUUUUGGUGGUGACAUCUGCAACCCUUAGCCUGAAAAGACCCCUGAGAUGCCAGGAACCACACUCCUUUGUUAUUCCACUGUGUUCUAAUAAUAUAAACUCUAUUCUCCAUGCAUGCCCGCAUUGUUGCCUUCAUUCCCUCCCCAUCGUCUCAUGAAUGUUGUCAUACCAUUCGUACCUGCUGCAUUUCAAUUCCCAUGCAUAAUGAAUCAUCCUCAAAUGAUGAAAUAUGCUACCCUAUUAUCCCCUGCUCUUGGAGACGUCUGGGAUCUUUUCCACUCUAUUCCCACUAUACUACCGACGUCGCUUGCCUGAAUCUCGUUCUCAGAAAUCAGUUUUCUGCACAGCAGUUUCCCCUACAAUCUGCAGCUUCUUCUACUCUGAAUCCACCUUGUCUGAUCCGCCUAUUGAUGAUAAUAAGACAGUGAUGAAGCCAGUGUUUUCUUCUCGAAAGCCCUGAUAGCAAACUCGCGAUUGAGCACUAUGGGACGGCGGGAAUUCUUGAUUAAGGCUAACGAGAUUACUGAUGGAAGACCCGACAUGAGGGUCUGGGUGAAAGACGAGUAUUUCACGAACCAAGUCCUAUUAUAUUUGAAAAGUCAACGCCCACUGAUGCAUUCAAAUAAUGUAAACCAUCAUUUUCAAGUCCUGGACCUCUAAGACCGGUAUCCUUCCGUGUUUUUCCCUUGGAUAUGUGGGCAUUUCUCUUCCUGUACCUCAUUUCAGCGCCGUCUUAGCUCAAGACUAGCUGCAUGUCUCACACCCAGAUGCGAUUGAGUAAAGCUCCAGUGAUAAUCAAGAAACAGACAGCACUCUAAUAUGAUGAAGUCCCUGUUGGUGAUGAGCCGCCCUCCUCUGUGACCUUGUGAAGUCUCCUGCUCCUCUUCUUGUAAUGCACCCUGACUUGCAUCCAUGCAAAACCUCCAUGCUUAUGUAUCCUACCCAACAUGCAUAACCAUCUCCCCUUUACCAAUUUUUUUCCCAUCACCACCUUUUCUCUCUCUACACCACAUACCCUUCAUGCACACUGUUUUCUCACUAAUCUACGCCACCUCAUACCACCAAUCCCAUGCGUACACCAUCCUAUCCUCCAUGCCUCAUCUAUCAAACCCGACACCAUCAAGCUUUAUCUUCCAUUCAUCCCCAUUACCUCCCGCUUACAUGGAUCUCUAUGCGCGUAGGCAUUCUAGAUUCACUACAUCUUCACACCAUCAUACCUAUUCCCUAUUCCAUUUAUCACACCACAUGCCCACUGAAUCUAUCUCUUUACUCACUAACACCUUUCACCAUCUUCUUUUUAAAAUAUCCACUCACUCGUUUCUCUCUCUACACCACGUGUUUUUCAAACCCAUUGUUUUUCACUCAUUAAACCCAUUCCCCUCACCCUUGCAUGGCCACACCAACCUCUCUACCCAUCCAUCAUAUCCUCAUACAUGCAUGGUUCCCAUCUGUACCCAUUUCUCUUACCAAUCAUCUUUCUCAUUUUCCAAGUCUACAUAUCUAUCACCUCACCACUAACCCAUUUUUCAUCACCCUUCAUAUCCCCAUAUACGUCACCAUACCCGCCAUCCACCAUUCAUUCCAUACCUUCCAUUGCAUGCUCCGCCACACUCAUGACCACCAAAGAAGUGACACAGAGAAGGAUCGGUGAUGGCAUGCAAAAGUUCUUCUAUCAGGCGUCAAUGAGAGCUCGGUAUUUUGUCAUGAGAAUUCACUAUAUUCAUUAAAUAAAAAAAAUAAAAAUAAAAAACUCCAGGGGCAGCUAGUAGCUGGGCAAGAGGAGACAUUCCAGUGGCAGAUUCACGUAAGUGCUAGACAAGAGCAACUUUUGACCAUAACGUGCAUUUACCGCUUGGAAUAUAUGUGGCCAUGGUUAAAAAAGGAUCGAAUUAAAAGAAUGUAUUUAAUUAAAUAUAUUGUGACAUUAUUAGAGAUGGUGGAUUUGAAGUAAUUAAGAUUUAAUAUAUGAUUAAUGCGGAGUUGACGAAGAGAACAUCAUGCAUGACCAUCCAUCAAUGUAUAACUAAGCAAUAGAUGAUAUUUACACAUGACAUGACUUUACUAGUAGUUUAUUACUUUUCUUUUAAUAUUUAUUUCAUGUUGAAUUAUUAGAAUCAAGGAAAAUAUGAUACAAAGAAUUUUUUAAACGUAGAGGUGAACUUGUAUGACCUUAUUUGUCCUUCCAUGAGUGAAAUCAUCAUCUAAAGUCAUUUAUAUAGAUUUGUCUCUUUUAUAUCUAGUCAAAAUUAUGCUUAUUCAAAUUGGGGUUGGAAAACUUCUCUAGCCAAAGAAUCAACUUCAAUGUGGAGAAGACAUAAUGACCUUUUUUUAUUAUUUAUUUUUUCUUAAUUUCCUUAUUUCUUUUAAAAUCAACUUCUUUGUUGUUUGGGAAGAAAAUUAAACAAAAUUAAUUAAUAAUUAAUUAUCACAACUUUUCUAACAUUUUCAUACAUUAUAAAAAAAAUCCUAGUAGAAAAUUUAAUAUUAUAUAAAAAUUUAUGAAAAUAUUGAAACAAAAAACUUACAAGGCAACACCCUAUACCAAGAUAUUGAGUAUCUGAAAGCAUCCAUUCUCAAUUCUUUCAUUGUAUGCACAUCUUCCUAUUAAAUUCAAAUAUGUAAAUAAAUAUCACCAUAAUUUUUAUAAUAUUAAUGAAAGAAAAAUGAAAAGGAAAAGAUAAUACGAGGAAUUCCAAACCUUAUAACAAUGAUAGAAAUCAUUUGCAACAUCACCAUUGCUACCAUCCAUUAUCCUAGCUAUAUUGUUAACACAAAAAAGUUAAGAAAUAUAAUUAAUUUUUUUAUAUAUCAAUAUAUAAUAUAAUUAUUCAUUAAUUAGGUUCUAAUCUUAUCUAAAUUAUUUUUAAUGCUUUUAAAUCCAUAUUGAUUAUUGAAUUAGAAAAGUUAUCAAGUCAUAAUUCACUAGCUAGUUGGGACGAUGGUUCAAUUGUGAACAAAUAAUGAUUCAAUAUGAUUUUUGAAAAUUAUAAUUUAUAUAUUCUUACAUAAAAAUAUAUAAUUUUAAAUUUAUAUUUAUGUAAAUAAUUAUAAUUUAUAACAUUUAUUUGUUUAUAAAUUAAAUUAAUUUUUAAUAUAAUUUCAAAAAAUAAAAAAAUUAAACCAGGAUGGUGGGUUCUUCUAUUGAUCCAUCUGCCCACUUCACUUAAUUUUUCAUUUUAUCUUUUUGGGAUGAAGAUUAUCAUAUCUCAACUUCGUAUUCUUGUCAUCAUUUGCAAUCACUUCCUAAUAGCAAAACCUAAACUAUUUUAAGUACUCUUUUUCUUAGAGAAAAAUAAAAAAAUAAAAAAUAAAAAUUUAAUAAUAAAAGUUUUUGUCAUUAUCUUACUUGCUUUUUCUUUUCAAAAAAUAUAAAUUAUUAUUAAUAUUAUUAUUAUUAUUAUUUUGACUUUUAAGUUUUAAAACUCAAAUGUUAUCCUAAACCUUCAAGCUUAAAUCCAAACACAAUCAUCAUAAACUUUUUGUGUUAAAAAAAGUCAGGAAAAUUAUUCAACUCAAAGAGAGACCUGGGUAUUUACGACUGAAAGUAUCCCAUAUACUAGGACCUCUGCCACCUUCGUUUGCUAUGAGUCAUAUUAAUUUAUAUACUGAAAGUCAGGAAAAUCCAUGCACAGAACAUAUUAAUUUAUAUUAAAAAUAAGAAAAUGAUAUGAUAUAGAAUACACAGCAUAUCAAACUUCAAACUUGAACAUUUGAAAUAUACGGAAAAAAUGGGUUUAGAAUAUAAAAAAAUGGAAUUUAGAUCUAAAGCAAUCACACCAUUGCAUGGUACAAAUUAAAGUGAUUUUUGAUAAUGUGGCAAGUUGUGAUUGGUCUUCACUAUUAUCUAUAAAAGUUGUUUUUUGAUACCAUGAAAAUGUCAGAUCUCUAUUAUGAACAUACUAAAAAAAACAAAAAAAAGUUGUAAUAGAUUAAAAUUAAUCUAUGAAUCCGUAAAAAUAUCUCCUUGCUUGAUAAGUAGCCGAACCUGUUCCAAAAAUGAAACCGGCCGAAAACUACUUCGAUUGAAGGAGGCAGCUACCACUGGCUCAGUCCAAGCCAAUGAGCUAACCAGGAUUAGUAGGCCUAGUGGUAAUGAGCACUGAUGAGUUGCUAUGAGUAGCUGUGGUUUCAAGGUUCAUCUUCACUCCCUUUAUAUAGAUCCAAAUUAGAGGAAAUCAAUCAAUUAAUGUGACAUUUUUACUAACUCUCCAAUUGAAGGAGUCAGCUACCACUGGCUCAGUCCAAGCCAAUGAGCUAACCAGGAUUAGUAGGCCUAGGAGUAAUGAGCAGUACUGAUAAGUUGCCAUGAGUAGUUGUGGUUUCAAGUUUCAUCUUCACUCUCUUUGUAUAGAUCCAAAUUAGAGGAAAUCAAUCCAUUAAUUAUGUGACAUUUUUUAUGUGAAAAUUUUAUCCAUAGGCAUAUUAUAUAUUGCUAUCAAAGUAUGGCUAGAACUGAUAAGAGGACUUGUCAAAAUGAGACAAUUAUAUAUUUAGAAACAUCUUAUACAUCUCCUAUGGAUGUAUAAGAUGUUUUUCAUAAUUGCAAAAAAAUCAAAGUUUUUUUGCAAUUAUGAAAAACUUGAAUACCAAUAACAAAAUGUUAAACCUUUUAGUGAAAAAUAAAAAUUGAGAGCAAAACCCUAAUAGCAAACAAAUUAAUUUGUUUUAAAAAAAGAAUUAAAAUCCAUGCUACUUUGAACUGAGAUAAGAUAAUGGAAACACUAAUCUAUCCUCAUGAAAUUAGACUUCCUUAAAUUAAAUGGUAAAGUACAUAAUGUUAUUUGAUCCUUGAUCCGUGAAAGUAGAGGAAUGAAUGAAACUUAAUUAAAAACUAAUUCGAUACGUAAUUAACAAGAUAUUAUUUUGUCCAAUUUUAACUACAAGAAAAAAAGCUUAUCUUUCUAAUAACAAUAAUAGGUAAUGGCAGCCAUGGGUGAGGCUGUGAGGGAGAUGGAGAGGGUGACUGUGUCGGCAAUGGUCCGUUGUGGACUGAAUGAAGCUGGGUGUGGUGAUGGAGAUGGAGCCGGAGAGAGAGAGGAAGCAACAACUUGGGAGGUGACGAUGCAUGGACUGUGAGGGCAUAAUGGAGAUGAGAAGUGGCAGCGCGUGGUGAGGCGAGAUGAAGGAUGUAGGUGGCAGCCAUGGUGAUCGUUGAUCAGUGGUUUUGGCUAGUCAGGAAGAGGAGUUGGAGAUGGUGGAGUUUUAAGGUGGACGGUGGUGAGAGCGACGGCCAUGGAAGGGUGAUAGCAGAGAGGUGAUAGUGUGUACUGGUAAUGGAGAUGGCGGGCAAGAGCAAAGAGAGAAGCAGAGGAAGAAAAUAAAAAAAUCCAAGAAAGAAAGAAGAACCAGGGAGAAGGAGGGGGGGCCGGUCUCUUGCCGGACGGAGAGAGCCUUCUUUAAUUACUUAUAACUUGAUUCUCCUGAUUUUCUGUUUUCCAAAAAAUUCUGAUUUUCCUUCUAAUUCUAUUUCUUCCUCAAAAGUAAAGUAAAUAAGGUAAAAUUAAGGAAAAUAAAACAAUAAACAAAAAUAAAAAAUAAAAUAAAUACAAUAAUAAAAAUACACAACGCCUUAUUGCUUCAAAAGAAGCUCCCAUCGAAGUUCACUAUGAAUCUUUGGGUACCUAUCAUGAGAUUUAUGGGCACUAUCUAAUAGUAAGAAGUGUAAAAAAAGAGAUUCCUUGUAUAUACAUUCGAACCACUGUUGGUCAUAUUUCUCUUUAUCGAGAAAUCGAAGAAGCCAUCCAAGGCUUUUGUCGGGCCUGCUCAUAUGAGACCUAAUCAUAUGAUACUUAGGCUAAGUAAUUAUAUGAUAUGAUACCGGUAUUAAUUCGGGUCUCUCCGGUUCAACUAGGAUCAUAGUUCUUGAAUUUCUACGCGAAGCAAGAUCGAGAAAAGGAAGUUUUACAACCACUGACUCAAACCCAUUGUCAAAUCCUACUCAGCGGAAUAUGGGGGUACUUAUGACAGAAAGGGCCAAUCUGGUCUUUCACAAUAAAGUGAUAGAUGGAACUGCCAUGAAACGACUUAUUAGCAGAUUAAUAGAUCACUUCGGAAUGGCAUAUACAUCACACAUCCUGGAUCAAGUAAAGACUCUGGGUUUCCAGCAAGCCACUGCUACAUCCAUUUCAUUAGGAAUUGAUGAUCUUUUAACAAUACCUUCUAAAGGAUGGCUAGUCCAAGAUGCUGAACAACAAAGUUUGAUUUUGGAAAAACACCAUCAUUAUACUGUGCAUGAGAUAUAGGUAGGAGAGCACAAAAAAUUCCCUAGUCAAAUAGGCUUAAAAAAUAUAUAAAAAAUAGGCAUCAAUUUUAGGGUCUACAUUGGCACAGGACAAAAUGUGUCUAAUUACUAUUUCCACAUUGGAACUCCUGUUCAAAACUCUUGAGGCACAUUUAUGAACAAUAGGAAUCUUGACAAACUAUAAUUAGAUUAUUUAUUUGAUCUUUAAAAAGUGUUUGAGUACAUAUUUAAUUAUUUUUAUUUAUUCUUACUUAAUGUAUCUUUAAUUCUAGUUUCUUUCUAUCCUUUGAGCCAAACUUGCCUAAUAGGAGUUUGUUAUAUUAUUCUUCUCUUGUAAACCUUGUAAGUGUUCACUAGAGGAUUUGUAUCAAGUGUGAGUAUUCAUUGAAGGGUUUGUGUCAAAUUUGAGGUAUCAUUAGAGGGUUUUGUUUAAGUGUGAUAUAUUACUCGAGUACUUAUUAAGUGUAGGGUAUCACUUGAAAGAAAUUAUAAAGGUUAAAUGGGGCAUGCUCCAAGUGUAAAAAUUUAAAAAUUAAAACUUUACUAAUAGUUGAAUAACCUCAGGUUUGGGAUUGAAAGUAGAGAAAGUAGUCAUAUAUAGACAAAUUGUCUCAAAUCAUCACAAAUGAAAAUUGAAUAUCUCGUAUUUCCAGAAAACUUGUCUUGGAGUCUCAUUAAUUAAAUUGUUGGAUAAGCGGAGCAAAGAGGAUAUCUUUUUCCCAGCUGACAAACUAUUCACAAUAUUAUUUAGAAGAUUUAUAUAAAUUGAAUCAAUAAUUAUGCUGAAAAAAAAAUGGAAAAGUUCAACCGAUAAACAGGAUUAUUUCGUUUUUCAGCUCUCCAAAAGGCACUUUUUUGGUGGGAAAUCCAUAGGCAUGUUAUAUAUUGUUACCAAAAUAUGGUUAGAACUAAUCGAAGUGCGUCAAAAUGAGACAAUUAUUUACAAACAUUGAUGUUGUAUAUCUCAAUGAUUUUUGAUAUAUUAUAUAUUAUGGAUUUUUUUUUUCUAUAAUUAUAAUUUGACAAACAUAGUUUAGAGUUUGUUUGAUAGUAUUUUUAUUCAAAAUAUUUUUAAUAAAAGUAUUUUCAAGAGAAUCACCUGCCAAAUGUUUUUCCAAAUAACGUCACAAGUGAUUUUUCAAUAUUACAAAUGAUUUUUUAGAAUUUUAAAAGUAUUUUCUAAAAUUUAUCAAACACCUAAUUUUUUUUUCUUUCAAAAAUGUUAUUUAAAUUAAAAACGCUUUCUAAAAUCAAUAUCAAAUGAACUCUUAAAACCUAUUUGAUAGUGAUUUUAAGAAACUUUUUUAGUUUUUUUAACAUUUACUAAAUAAAAAUUUUCAAAUGUUAGAAAUAUUAAAAGCACUUCUUAUGAGAACAUUGAAGUUGAAGUUUAACGUCCCAUAAGUAUAAUUGUAUUAAAUAUUAUUAUUAUUAUUAUUAUUAUUUUCUCAUUAUGAAAAACUCGAAUCUCGCUAAUAAAAUGUUAAACCUUUUAAAGAAAAAUGAAAAAUUGACGGCAAAACCAUAAUGGCAUACAAAUUUUUUUAGAAAAAAUAAAAUAAAAUAUGUGUUGCUUUGAACUGAGAAAAGAUAAUGGAAGCACUAAUCUAUCUUCAUGAAAACUUCCUUAGAUUAAAUGGUAAGGUACAUAAUAUAUUUUUAUUCUUGAUCCAUGAAAGUAGAGGAAGGAAUGACAAAACUUAAUUAACUACUAAUUCAAAGAACUUGUUGCUGUCUCGACUGUGCUAUAGGAGACUCCAGGGAAGUCAGAAUAGGAGAGCACUUAUCUUAGGUGGGUGCAAUGUCAUUAAUACAGAUAUAAUAACAAAAAACUUGUCCUUCAGUUAACCGUAUUUUACACCAUUUAGGUGAUUGCUAAUUUUCAGUAUCUUAUGUCUACUACUCCUAAGCUAUAGGUAAAAUAUAUAUAAACAUUUGCAUACAACAAUCAAUGAUUUAUUAAUAUGAAUAAUUGAAAGUUGGAGAGUUGAUUUAUUUGUUUAAGACCGCAUGAAUCACUCUUGAUUAAGAUAAUGAAGAAGGGAAUAGCUUUUAUUGAAAUAUAUGUAUGGAUGUUUCUUCAAAUAUACGUAAGACGACCUUUUAGUCAUCCUACUGUAAAUAUUUGAAUAUCUCUACUGAAAGGAACCAGAUUGAGGCCAAGCAUACUUAAUUUGAAAGUGUCAAAGGAGGAGAUGAUAAAAAUCAAGAAGGUGACUCAGCUAACAUUUGUUGAGUCCAAGUCUUGAUAAAUUGGAGUUUCAGAUUCAUGAUUUUCCAUAGAACAUUUGAUACCAUCAAACAAUCUAGAAACUUAAAUUAUUAGGCAGAAUGAUCAAUAACAUACAUUAAGUUUAUUUAAACUACAACCUUAACAUUUAAUUAGGGUGAAAUUAAUGGUAUAAAAUUGUUAUCGUAUAAGUGUUGAAGUUUUAACCUAAGUCUAUAUGAUAUAAAUUGUUGGCUUGUUACUUAAAAAUUAAGGGUUUGUUUGACAAUAUUUUUGAAAAAAGGUUGUAAGAAUAUUAUUUUUUUUGAAAAUAUUUCUUUAAAACAUUUUUUUAGCAUAAUUUAAAAAAAAAAAAGGUUUUAUGAACAAAAUUUUGUUUGAGAAUUCACAUAUGAAAAAUAAUUUUUUCACAAUAUUUCUUAAAGAAUUUUUUUAGCAUAGUUCUUAAAAUAAAAUUUUGUUUGAGAAUUCUAAUAUGAAAAAUAUUUUUUUCAAUUAAUUUAUUCUCUCUUUAAAUAGCACUUAUAUCUAUAAUUAAAAAAAAAUCCUAAAAUAUUCUUUAUUUCGUUUCUUUUAUUGUUUCUCAAAUAUUUUAUAAAAAACACUUAAAAAUAACAUGUUUUUUUAGAAUGAAUUCUCAAAGAAAUAAUUUUCAAUAAAAAAAAUUUCAAAUAUGUUUCUAAAUUAGAAAACUAUUUUCAAAAAAAAAAAAAUUUUUAAAUAAAAGUAGUUCCUAGAUAAAUUCUAAGCUUUUAAGUUAAAUACGUCACACAAGUGACUCAUCCAUCAUAUGAAAGUAGUGAAUUGAAGAGUUUGACCCAACAAUUCACAAGGUGACUCAAAGUCAUAUCAGAAGCAUUAUCCAUAUUAUGGAUAAGGUAAGAAUGUAAAACUAAGAAAAGUCAAAGUUUGCAUGAUGAAUAUUAACUCAUCAAGUGUUGAAGAUUUUUUUUAGGUUAAUUUCAUGUAAAACUGGGUUGGGCUAAAUUAGGAAUACAUAUGAUCAUUUUAAGGCACCAAAACUCAUUCAAGUUAUAUCAAAUUGUUUUGUAUCUUUUCAAAAAACAAGUGAAGUGUCUUUGUAGAUCAAACCAUAUUAAAAUUAGGUGCUUCAUAUUAAAAUUAGCUAAUUCAUAUUUAAAAGGUUUUCAACAUCAUAAAGAUUUUUUUUAUUUUUUAUUUUAUUUUUUUAUAGCUAAAAAAUGAAGAUUUUUGGAAAUCAAGAAGCAUAUGGGAAAUGGUGAAUUGCCCAAUCCAUCAAUUAAGAAGGUUUUGGUAAAGAGACAAGGCAAUGACUACAGAUUGAGCAACUAGUCAACCAAUCAAGUUAUCUCUUUCUCAACAGUCACUUGUUUUACUUUGUACUUCCAAUGGCUAGUUGAGUUGUCGAUUGCUCGAUCAACUAGUUAGUACAAAAUGUGUCUAACUACUAUUUCCACAUUGAAACUUCUAUUUAAAACUCUUCAGGCACAUUUAUGAAUGAGAGGAAUCUUGAGAAAUUAUUGUUAAAUCAUUUAUCUGAGUUUUAAAAAGUGUUUGAGUAUAUAAUUAAAUUACUUUUACUUAUUCAUAUUUAAUGUAUCUUUAAUCCUAGUUUCUUUGUAAACAUUAAAUGAGGUCUACUCCAAAUGUAAAAGUUUGAAAACUUUGGCUUAAAAGCCUUAAUAAUAGUGAAAUAACCUUAAGCUUGACAUUGAAGCUAGAGAAAAGCAAACAUAUAUAAGUAGAUUGUCUUAAACUAUUAUAAAUAAAAAUUGCAUCUCUCUUACUCUAUUUCUCUUUUUUUUAUUGCAAUUAAUACAAUUACUCUUACUUUUAAAUUUAUUAAAAAAUAUUGUUGUAAAAGACAUCCAAUUUAACCCCUCCUCUUGGGUCUAUGUAGAGGAUUGAUUGACUUUUCAUACAUUGUCAUAGUGUUGAAAUUGAAUAUUAGUGAAUAUAUGAGAGUUGGCAGGUCUACAACAUGUUGGAUGUUAUUUGUUAAUACUUGUAAAGAAAACAAUGUAAAGAAAGAGUUUGGAAAAUAUGUUUAUCAUUUGAUUGUUUAAACUCCUAACAUGAUCUCACUUUGAAAGGAAAGACAACAAAUGAAAAGAGUGAUAGAUAGAAAAAUUCCUUGCAGACUUAAAUAAAACAAUUCUACAAGAAAAUCAAAGUUUUAUUUUCUGUGAAAUGUGGAUACAAAAGAGAUGAUCAUCUCCAUCUUAUUGAAUACAUACAUUAAAAAGAUAAUGUUGUGAAGUCCUAUUUUUUAAGGAAUUUCUUGAACCACAUAGCUGAAUCUUUAGGGUGCCUUUUCAAGUUAUUAUCAUAAUCGAUGAAGAUGAUGUCAAACCUUAGAGUGUAACUAGAAUUCCAUUUGUAGUUGUCCAACAAUGACCAUGCAAAGUAACCCUUAACAUUAACACCAUCCCUACAACCAAAAAUUUUGAUACCCUAAUUAGUAUUUUUUUUUUUCUCAUUUGCAUAAUCAAAUCAUUGUAAAGUACAUGCAAAUAUAUUACCUAUUGUCAUGUUGAAAUCAUCCAAAAUGUAGUAAUUGCAAAAAGCCUAAACACUAGAAAAAAAUUUCGUAUGUGUAAGAAAUUAAACUUACUUGAUGGCUAAUUGAAGGAACAAAAGAUGUUGGUAGUGGUAAUCUAUCCUCAUGGGGUCCUUUAGUACCUCCUUAAUUUGUAAGGCACUAUUGUGACUUUACUACACAUUCCUCUUGGAUAAACACUAAACCAAGUUGAAUAAGCUAGCAAAUUCAUUUCUCAACGUUUAGUUUAUGAAAAUGAAGUUAUAAAUGAUUCUCAAUUUAGAAAAAUAAGUAUGAAAUGCUAUAAAAUAACAAUUUAUUGAUUACGUACCAUUGGACUGAUGGGAACUCCAUUGCGUUGUUCUAUCAAACCAAAGGGAAAAAAUAAAAAUUAAUUACAUAUAUAGGUCAACAAUAAUCAAGAUGAUUUAUUGAAAUUAUUAUACAAAUCAAACUUUGAGGAUUUUAUAUGGACUUACUAGUAAGAUUAACAAGAGAAUCUGUAGCAUAGCUCACAUUAACGGUAUUGUUUUAAAGAAAAAAAAAAGUGAAAAUCAUUUCUUUUCUAACUGUUUUAAAGAAAUUAUUUCCAAUUUUCUCAAUAUCAUGGAAUUGUUAAUGUUAUGGCAAAAAUCAAAGUUGGCAAAUGAUAACAUGGCACACAUUGGAGGACAGCAAAGCGACUUACUGGCAGGUGGGGUUGUAAGAUCCCUCCCAAAUAUGCCACAUGGCCUUCUCUCGACCAACCACACGAGCAAACCCCCCUCAGACACGUGGUGUCGCUCUUUCCAUCCGGGGGAUGUUAUUCGACUGAUGGUUCACCUUCCUCGGAUACACUUUAUCCGACACACAACUACCGACUGACUGGGGCAACUGUUCAACUUCCCCGGUCAAUCCAUGCCCGGAUCCUGAACAUCUUUUGUCUAGGUAAGCCAUCGCCUAGCGAUCUAACUUUCCUGGACAUGUCUCACUCAGAUCAUAUUGUCAUCCGACCAGACUCAUGGCUGCACGGAAUUGAGAAAGCGACUCAAAUAGUGUCUUGGACUAGGUCUCCCAAGUCUUCACUCGCUUUCAAUUUAAGAUGUGUUUGAUGGGACAAUCAUAGGUCUUCUCAAGCCGCCUGACAUAUCUUGUGUACUAGUGGCUAUAACUUGAAGUGACAGAGGCGCCACCUGAACGCCCCUUUGACAGCCAUCCUUUGGCAUCAGAAAAAGUCAUGAUUGUUCCGCCACCCUAUGUGUCGCAAUCAUGACUAUCAUGGGUUUCACUAGCCCUACAAAUAUACCCCCUAUGUUUCAUAUAAAAACGGGAAGACAAUUCUUAAGAAGGUAAGCAAUUCAAAAAAUUGAGGAGAAACGUUCCCACAAAGACAUUGCUUUUAGUCAAUUUACAAAAGACUAACUUAAGCUUCAAAGGGUGUGUCCGGACGACUCGUCUGGACAUCUUUUUGCAGGAAGAAGGAAGAAACUCAUUCUUAGUUGAUCCGAACUCCAUUUCUGGUAGUUGCAACCGCCACGGUGGAAUUUUGUCAUCAACAUUGGCGCCGUCUGUAGGAAGCAUGAUCGUUUUUUUUUCAGUAACUCCUAAACUUUCCUUUCUCAAAGAUGGCUACACCUUCAAGAAGUCGUUCUUCUGCUAAAGGCGAAGAAGGUUACUUUGAAUGGCGAAAUAACAUGGAAAUGUGACAACGGGAAAGUGAAAGACAGAUGCAAGCCUUACUUCAAAAACCAGGAGGCUCAGGGAGGAAAAUGCCAUAUUAAGGGUCCAGGUUUCCUCAGAACCCCUACCUUGCCAACAACCACGAAGUCCUAGGUAUGACCAGGAAGCCAUGUACCCUGGGAACGUGAGUCUUCCCCCCGAAGCACAUGAUGCAUGGCCUGCUGAAGAGCCAAUACCCGCUCGCCGUAUGCCACGGGAAGAAAGUUCCAACUCCACUCACAUCUCCUCAAAGAGGAAACACGAGAAAAGACCCCAAAUAUCUGACGCUAUGCGUGCAAGGCUAGGGCCUCAAGCUCCUAGAAAAAACAAGUCAUAUGCUACUACAGCACCAGGGGCUUGCCUCAGGCCCUCAAACUUACCUGUUUCACGAGAGCAUGCCCCUCACCAGCCAAAGCCAUGGGCUGAGGGGAACCCGCUGACUGCAACACCCCCAGGUUCCAUUAGCCGGCGAUUGGAUGACAUGCUCUCCACGCCCUUCAGUUCUCGUAUCAUUGACUAUGAGCCCCCACGAGGGUUCAUCAUCCCAAAAUUUUCUACAUACGAUGGGUCUAGUGAUCCAUUUGAUCAUAUCAUGCACUACCGAUAGCUCAUGACCCUCGAUAUAAGGAAUGACCUGCUGCUAUGCAAAGUUUUUCCAGCUAGCCUCCAAGGCCAAACUCUCUCAUGAUUCCACCGACUUCCUAUAAACUCUAUCGACAAUUUCAGGGACCUGUCCGAAGCUCUCGUAGGGCAAUACCUAUGCUCAGCCAGACAUAAGAAAAAUAUCAGCACUUUACAAAACAUCAAAAUGCAUGAAAAUGAAACCUUGAGAGAAUUCGUCAAGAGAUUCAGAUAGGCUGUCUUGCAACUAGAGUCUUAUAACAUGGACGUCAUCCUGCAAAUUUUCAAGCGAAGCAUAUGCCUAGGGACCCCCUUCUUUGAGUCUCUCGCCAAGAAACCCCCUACAACCAUGGAUGAUCUAUUCCAACGUGCGAACAAAUAUUCCAUGCUAAAAGAUGACAUCCGAGCAGCCACACAGCAAGUCCUAGUUGUCGGCCAAGCCGCGAGAAGCGACGCCACCAGGAACUUCAAGCCUUCGAACCAGCAAGGGCCACCCAAUAGGGAACAAGGCGAACGACGCCCGCCAAUCACACCAACUCCUCUUACCUUAACGUAUGAGAAAUUGCUCCCUAUGAUUUGUGAGUUGCCCGACUUUAGAUGGCCGUGACCAAUAAAGUCAAAUCAUAUAGAAAGAGAUCACAACAAAAGAUGUGCGUACCACAAGGAUCACGGGCACACCAUAGAGACAUGCAGGACUUUCCAUUAUUUAGUGGAAGAUCUUCUAAAAGCGGGGCACUUAAAGCAGUAUGUUCGCACGACGUCCAAAAGUGGAGAAUCCUCUCAUGGCCAUGGUCCACGGGCCCCUAUAGCUCCUGUCAAAGCCAUAAUCAACUACAUACACGGGGGACCCUUGAAUGACGAGUACAACUCUAGAAGAAAGAAACAGAGAUUACUGCAGGCAACCACUGUCCGGGAACAUGUAAGUUCCAUCCGGCCAAGAUUAGCCAGAGUGAGCGUUCACUCGAUAGAUAGAGCCAUCGUUUUUUCCCCUAUAGAUCCCACUCGAGUGUUGCAGCCACAUCGAGAUGCUCUCAUCCUAACUAUGGGAAUUGGAGACUUUGAUGUGAAAAGGAUACUAGUCGAUUCGGGUAGCUCCGCAGACCUUUUACAAGUUUCAAUGGUCAAGCAAAUGGGAUUUAUACCAUCCAGCCUGGAAAACCUAGGAAGAAUAUUGUCCGGGUUUAACGGGGCCUCUACAACAUCGCUUGGUGACAUUAUUUUGCCAAUUCAAGCUGGGCCAGUCACUCUGAACGUCUUAUUUUCCGUGGUUGAAGAUUUGUCCCCUUUUAAUGCCAUCUUGCGACGUACCUGGCUCCAUAGCAUGAAAGCCAUCCCAUCCACGUAUCACCAAAUGGUCAGCUUUAUCACUCAAGACGGGCAAGUUGAUCUCUACGGAAGCUAGCUUGCUGCCCGACAACGCUACCAAAUCGCUUGCGAGGCCGGACCUAGCACCAACAGCGAGCAUUCUCCCAAAGAAGCAAACCUGCUCUACCAAUAGCAAUUAUAGCAUCCGGCGGACAAGGAUUCCCCGGUAGCGGACCCCCUAGAAGCUAUUCAGAUUUCAGAGCAGGAAGAGCAUUUCACGCAUAUUAGCUCUCUCUUGCAGCCAGCAGAAGCAUAGGAGCUUCUAAGCGUGCUCCAACAAAAUCAAGAUAUCUUCGCUUGGACCCACUCGGAUAUGACCGGAAUACACCCAACUGUCGCUUCACACCGGCUUAACGUAUUGACCUCUUCAAGCCCCGUUCAACAAAAAGUCCGGCGAUUCCACCCAAAUAGGCAAAAGGUCAUUCAAUAUGAAGUGGGGAGGUUAUUAGAAGCUGGAUUUAUAAGAGAGGUUGAAUACCCGAAAUGGCUAGCAUAUGUGAUGGUGGUCCCCAAGAAAUGAGGAAAAUGGUGAGUGUGCAUGGACUAUACCAAUCUCAACGACGCAUGUCCCAAAGAUAGUUUUUCACUACCACGGAUAGAUCAGAUAGUAGAUGCUACUGCCGGGCAUGAAAUGCUAUUUUUUUUGGACGCUUUCUCCGAAUAUCAUUAGAUCCCCAUGGCGCCCGAAGAUGAAGAAAAGACUGCCUUCAUAACCCCGCACAGGCUCUACUGUGACAAAGUCAUGUCAUUCGGACUCAAAAACGCUGGAGCCACAUAGCAAAGGCUAAUGACCAAGAUUUUCAAACCGCUGAUUGACGACAUUAUAAAAGUAUACAUUGAUAAUGUGGUAGUCAAAAUCAAAACUCGAAGCGAACACGCCCAACAUUUGCAAAAAGUUUUUCACUUGCUAAGAAAAUUUGGCAUGAAACUCAACCUGACUAAAUGCGCAUUUGGAUUAAGCUCAAGGAAAUUUCUGGGAUUCAUGGUCACUCAGAGAGGGAUCGAAGUCAAUCCAGACCAAAUUAAGGCUAUUGCGAACACGCUCGCACUAACAAAUAAAAAAGAGUUGCAACGCCUUACUGGCAGACUUGUCGCACUUAAGCGAUUCAUAGCUCGAUUCACAGACAAGCUAAGACCUUUCUUUUUAGUGCUCAGGGAAGCCAAUAGAUCAAGAUGGACACAAAGCUGCCAAGACGCUUUCGAAGAAAUCAAGUGAUAUCUCACUCAGCCUCUCAUCCUAAGUAGUCCUCAACCCGGUGAAAGACUCUAAUUGUAUUUGGCAAUGACUGAUUGGGCAGUUAGUGUAGUUUUAUUCCAUUCCUUGUCACCCAAAGAGUAGAAACCCGUUUAUUUCAUCAGCAGAGCGCUGGCUGAUGCAAAAACAAGGUACUCGAAAAUGGAACAAACAACCUUGGCCUUGCGCAUGGCGGCUCAAAAGUUGCGCCCAUACUUCCAAGCCCAUCCCAUAAUUGUGCUUACCAAUCAGCCACUUAGAAAUGUCCUGCAUAAAUCGAACAUAUCAGGGAGGAUGUUUCAAUGGGCUAUAGAGCUAAGUGAGUAUGGAAUUGAUUAUCAACCUAAAUUGUCCAUGAAAUGAGAAGUCAUGGCAGAUUUUAUAGCGGAAACACCUCAACCACUUGCUCCAGACAAGGAAUCGAGCCAGGAGGGUUGGUGGAUUUUGCAUGUUGAUGGAGCUUCCCCUAUCGUUCGGAUCAGGACUUGGACUUCUCCUUGAAUCACGACCGGAGAACAAUUUGAGCAAUCUAUCCGUCUGGGAUUUCCCACUUCAAACAAUGAAGCAGAAUAUGAGGUCAUUCUAUCCGACCUAGGUCUUGCUACCGCCCUCUGUGCCUCCAAAGUCAGAAUCCAUAGCGACUCUCAACUUGUUGUGGGACAAAUACGAAAAGAAUACGAAGCCAAGGAUGAACGCAUGGUAAAGUAUUUGCUAAAAGUUCAAGAGUCGCUGAGCCGGCUAGGAGAGUGGGCCAUUGAGAAAAUCCCAAUGAUAGAUAACAUGCAGGCUGAUUCUUUAGCGGGGAUAGCCGUCUCGUUUCCCGUGAAAGAAUCCAUGCUGCUGCCUAUAUAUGUUCAAGCAACUCCCGCUAUCGCUAAGUCAUUCAUUUGCAACACCGUCAAUAAGGAAUAAGACUAGACAGUCGACAUAAAGGCUUAUCUCCGAGCAGGAACCCUACCGGAAGAUCCUAAGCACGCCCAUCAAACCCGGGUGCAAGCCACCCAUUUUACCUUGAUCGGGGAUGACCUCUAUAGACAGUCCUUUGAAAGUUCAUACCUUAGAUGCUUGACCCAACCAGAGAUCCAAUAUGUGAUGUCCGAACUUUACGAGGACAUUUGUGGUAAUCACUCGGGAGGUCGUACCCUAGCGUACCAGACACAUUCGCAGGGAUAUUAUUGGCCCACCAUGAAGAAAUACACAAAAGUUUAUGCCACGAAAUGCGACAAGUGCCAAAGGUACGCACCAGUUCCGCAUAUGCCCGCUAAGACAUUGAACUUAGUAACCAGUCCCUUGCCGUUCACACAAUGGGGAAUGGAUAUUGUAAGGCCACUACCCAUUACCGCCGCCCAAAAGAAGUUUUUGCUUGUUGCCACUGACUACUUCAGCAAGUGGGUAGAAGCUGAAGCCUACGCAAGCAUUAAAGACAAGGAUGUCACGAAGUUCAUCUGGAAGAAUAUUGCGUGUCGGUUUGGGAUCCCCCAAACGAUCAUAGCUGAUAACGGCCCACAAUUUGAUAAUUCCACCUUCAAGACUUUUUGUUCGGAGCUUAAUAUCAAAAAUUUGUAUUAUACGCCACGAUACCCCCAAAGCAACGGACAAACGGAAGCAACCAAUAAAACCCUACUGUCUGCAUUGAAAAAACGACUGGAAAAAACCAAAGGCAAGUGGGUCAAAGAGUUGCCCGACGUCUUGUGGGCCUAUCGGACCACGCCCAAACGACCAAUAAGGAAUACCCCGUUCGCCCUCGCAUACGGAGUAGAUGCAGUCAUCCCAACGGAAAUUGGCUUGCCUACAGCCCAAAUAGCCAUCCAGGGUCAGAGAAAUGAAGACAUGGAACUUGCAAGACACUUAGACUGUGCGGAUGAGACUAGAGAGGCAGCAUCCGUUCGGAUGGCUGCCUAUCAGCAAAAGUCGGCGGCAUAUUAUAACAAAAAAGUGCGACCUCGCGUUUUUAAAAAGGGAUCACUGGUUUUCAGGAAAGUCUUUAAAAAUAUGGUCGAAGUAGGGGCUGGAAAACUCCAAGCCAAUUGGGAAGGACCCUAUGUUGUGUCAAGAACAAGUGAAAAUGGGUCCUAUCAUUUGCAAACAUUAUAUGGAACCCCCUUACUCCGCCCUUAGAAUGUUGCCAAUCUAAAGCAAUAUUAUCAAUGAAAGAGAAAGAAUGAUAGUGCAAUGAAUUUCAUUUAUGAAAAAUGAUGUAAUUAUAAAAUGUCUUUCGGACAAUAUUACAGAAGGAAAGUAUAGCUAAAAUUUACAAAAGAAAAGCUUUCAUUGAGGAGGAUCGCGGCGCAUUUUGUCCUCUUCACCCGGAGGAAUUGAGGGAACAUCUCGCUUGAUGUUGUUUUUCUUCAUGUAGCAACGGUAGCCGAAGAAAUACAUCUCGUCUACCUACUUCUGAUAUUCAGUCUCAAGCUGCUUUCUUUGCACGGUGAACCUAGCCUCUAGCUCUUUCCUUUGGGCAAUCAGGCGUAGUUGUAAGUCCUCCUUUUGCUUUCUCUCAAUCGAUAAUUCAGUCUGGAGCUGUCUUACCUCUCCCCCCAACUGGGCUUUUUCAGACUCAACCUCAUUAAGUCGAUCCCCUAUGGCUUUCUUCCUACUCUUAACCUCCUCUAGCUCGAUCCGGAGGGCUUCUUUGUCAUCUUCAGACCUCCUUAAGGCCUCAGCAUUCUCUGCAGCAGCUUUUUGGGCAAUAGCCAAAUCAAUCUCAGAUUGCUGCAAUUUCAGGCGCAACUCCUCUUUACCGCCCAUGCGAUAGGAGACGAAGGCCUUCAUAUGGUCAGCAACUCUCAACAGGUCUGAAAAAAGCUCACACCGUUGAACCAUGCCGCAAAUGUCGUUCACCAACUGUAGUAGAAAACCCACAAGUGAUGGAUUCACAUAUAUGCCACGCGAAAAACACGUUAAUAUGGCAAACAAGAUCAAGGGAGUGCAGCUAUACCAUUUCCGCAGUUUCAAACAUCUUGGAUGGGGGCAGAUCGACAUUUGAACCAUGAGGUAUUCGCCUCAACAUUUCCUCCAUCUCUGUGCAACUAGGAGGGCAAACAGAAAUUUGGACAAUAUCAUUGGCAGAAUCCCUCUCUGCUGAAUCACUAUUACUAGGCUCCCCCCUUAAAGCCGGACCCGCUUCUUCCUCAACAGGCUGAACACCACCGGACGAAUCAUCAUCCGAGAUGAGUACGGGCCCGGAUGGACUCUCCCUUGCAAUCUCCAGUCGAACCUCUUCCGAAUGCUCCCCUCGAAUGGAUGAGCAGCUCACCUCAAUGGUUUCAUGGAGGCACUGUUGGAGCCUCUCACAAAAUUCGGUUGUUAAAUCGCAAGGAGGGAUUGACCUCUCCAGGGUUGGCUCAUCUACUGGCACAAGUGCAAGGGAAUCCGGUCCACAAGGGGGCGAACCCAGCCUCUCAACGCCCGGUUCUUCUAUAGGAAUGGUCGCGGGAGGAGCUGGAUCAAAGCAGGAGGGCCCGACUUCCUCACCUGCUGGUUUAUUCUCAACCAGCAGCUGCAUGUCGUCCUGAUCAGGGCGAGGAGAGUCGGGCUGAUCCACUGAGGGUUCUUCUUCAACCGGAAGUGCUAACCGCUCAAACGCAGAAAUGGAAGGCCCUGAUCCGUAUUGGCCAGGGACACGUCUGGGAAGGCCUGACUCGCUAGAGGAAGCGAAAGCAGAAGAGGGAACGGGAGAUCGAAUUACAAUUCCCUUAAUAGGAACCAUUUUUUUUUCUCAACCGAAUGUCGAGUCGGAGGAAGUGAAGCAGGGCGCUUCUCACCAGGGGCCCUCCGCAAGGUCCCCUCCUGCCUCUUCACCUCUCUUUGGCUAAGGCGUUCUUGGCAGGCUUGGGCAUCCGCAUCGCGGGCCUCCGUAUAGAAGGAGAGAUCUUGGAGAAUAAAGUGUUCUCCGGACACCACCUUCUUAGGCAGUCGCCUUGGAAUUAUGUUGAGGGUGUACGGUUGGGAUACUUGGGUGACCAUCCAAAGAUUCCGCGCGGAAAAGAGCGUUUGAUAGUUCCUCUCGCCCGCCGCGAUCUCAAACAACUUGUUCAACCGAUUGAACGAAGCUUUUUCCACCCAUUCGACCAAUCAGCCCCUCCUAUCCGGGCCUACACUCACGAAAAUGAAACAUGUUAACAACCUGGCCAAAUUAGCCCAACUUUCAAUACAAAUAGUAAGAGAGAAUACGUUCCCACCUGGAAUCUUCAGUGAUUGGUUGGGAACAAAUUCCUUUUCCCGAUGCUCCAACAAGCCUGCCCAUGAACCCUUAACUAGCACAUGUCCUCUGGCAACCCCUUUGAUUGAAUCAGGAAGGUCGAUCACCAGUUGGAGUGACGGAAUACCGGCGGAUAAGCUGAAGAUAUUGUUUUUCCCCUUCUUGAUGGUGUAAACAAACAGAACUUCCAACAGGGAAAGAUCCAAACUAAACAGCAUAUACAGAAUGUUGCACCCCAUUAGCACCCGGAUUACAUUGGGAUUAAGAAGAGCUGGAGGAAUUCUUGUGUAGUGGAGGAACUGCUUGAAGAUGGAGGGGAGUGGCAGGCGGAGCCCCGCGUUGAACUGGUCCUUGGAGAAAUAUAUAGCAUUAUCCCCAAACUUCUCAGUAGAAACUGCGUCACCCUCCACCAACUGAGCAGACACGCCGUUUGGAAUGUCGAAACGUUCCCAAAAUUCCUGCUCAUUCAGGAGCUCAAUGGGUUUGGCCAGAGGGAGUGCAACCGGACUCGGACCCACCCGGACAAUUUUGCCGCUCUGACCGGUUGCACCAGAAACUACAAUGUCCUUCUUUGGAGGCAUCUUCAGCUAUGUUGUACCUACGUUACACGAAGCCACCCAUUAGAAUGCAGCUACCCAAGCCAAACUCAAAACACAUCACUAAUUAACGCACCCAACCCAGGUAUAUCCUAAGCCGUGAACCCUAAAUUCAUGCGCUAAAUGGCCAACCCUCACCAAAAGAUUGCUUCUCCGUCUCUCCAACCCACCAAGUAAAAACUACCCUUUCCACACAUCCAAGAAAAAGAAAGAAACCCCCUAGAAAAUACUAAAACAACCCCCAUACACCUUAACAACGAUCAACAAAACGCAACCCCAACUAGAUAUUUUCCCCCACAAUAACCACUCUCUCAGACACGAUCGCAUUGUUCCCACCAUCUCAACCAAACUCCCGACCACAAACAAACAACACCAAGAACAAAAGUCAGAAAAAGAGCAAGAAGAGAAUAAACGAACCUUUUGGAGAAUCUCGAAGAUAGGUUGAAAGCCAGUCACCGUCGCCUGAAUCUUUGCUUCUGGGAACGCCGAGAAAAUUUUGGAAAGCUAGGAAUGAAGUGAAAAGUAUCAUCUGAAGGCAUUGGCCCACUAUUUAUAGGGGCAAAGUCCUGAGAAUCCCCAAACGACAGGGAGCCCAAUCGCACUAACUUUCGAAACGACACGCCGCCUGAUGGAGAUUUCAAGGUCGAUGCGCAUCAUAAAUACCCUUUUUGGGAAGCGCCACGCGUCACUACAACCCAAAAGGAGGGCAUUUUUGAGAAAUCAGUAUUUUUAUCCCACCUUUACUGUUCGGGCAAGAAAAGUGGCAUAAAAUGGGGCAUUAUAGGAUCCCUCCCAAAUAUGCCACAUGGCCUCCUCUCGACCAACCACAUGGGCGAACCCCCCUCAAACACGUGGCGUUGCUCUUUCCAUCCGAGAAAUGUUAUCCGACUGACGGUUCACCUUCCUAGGAUACACUUUAUCCGGCACACAACUAUCGACUGACUGGGGCAACUGUUCAACUUUCCCGAUCAAUCCAUGCCAGGAUCCUAAACAUCUUUUGUCCGGGUAAGCCAUCGCCCAGCGAUCCAACUUUCCCAGACAUGUCUUACUCAGAUCAUAUUGUCAUCCGACCAGACUCAUGGUUGCACGGAAUUGAGAAAGUGACUCAAACAGUGCCUUGGACCAGGUCUCCCAAGUCAUCACUCGCUUUCAAUUCAAGACGUGUUUGAUGGGACAGUCACAGGUCUUCUCAAGCCACCUGACAUAUCUUGCAUACCAGUGGCUAUAACUUGAAGUGAUAGAGGCGCCGCCUGAACGCCCCUCUGACAGCCAUCCUCUAGCAUCAGAAAAAAUCAUGAUUGCUCCGCCACCCUAUGUGUCGCAAUCAUGACUAUCAUGGGUUUCACUAGCUCUACAAAGAUAUCCCUUCUGUUUCAUAUAAAAACGGGAAGACAAUUCUUAAGAAGGUAAGCAAUUCAAAAAAGGGAGGAAAAACACUCCCACAAAGACAUUGCUUUUAGUCAAUUUACAAAAGACUAACUUAAGCUUUAGAGGGUAUGUUCGAACAACUUGUCCGAACAUCUUUUGCAGGAAGAAGGAAGGAGCCCAUUCUCAAUUGAUCCGAACUCCAUUUCUGGUGGUUGCAACCGCCACGGUGGGGUGGAAUUUUGUCAUCAACAGGGGUGGCAUUGAUGAAGUCAUUAACUAGGAAGGAAAUCAAAGGAAAGAUGAUUAGAAUGGGAAUAUAUCCAAGGAGGAUCCAAAUAAAUUUAAAUCUAUAUUUUAGGAGUUGAGACUAUUUCUAAAUAAAUUUAAAUGUAUAUUUUAGAUAUUGGAGACUAUCUCAAAUUCUUGUUGGGAUGUUUUCAUGGGCUGAUUAGAAAAUAUUUAUAAAAUGCAAAAUCAUCUUUUCAUAUUUCAAGUCAUAUCAUAUAAACUUGAAAUAUUUAUUGUCCUUAUGUAUUUUCACAAUAAAUCUAGCAUCCGGAUAUUACUUUGUGAAUGUAAAUUUUUAACUUAAGCAAAUAGUACUUUUGACCUUUGAGUGCAUAAAAAUAGUACUAUCUUUAACUAUUCUAUAACAUAAAGAAUGGACACCUUCAUUCUUUGACUAUUAGUACCAUUUAACUAUUACCUUUGAGUGCACAAUGAGCACAAUGAGUAAAUAAAGAACGUUUUAAUGCUUAUAAUUCUAAAACAAAUUUAGCUCACAAUAUAUAUAUAUAUAAGUUAGGAUGCAUUUGAAGUAGUACUAAAAGAAUUUGCAAGUGGAAAAUCAAUACACUUUUAGAGAAGAGCUUUGAAUAUAAGAAAAGAGUUUUUUCUAAUUGAAUUAAGAGAACAUAUUAACUUUUCCUAUAUGUAAUCCAUUUCUUCACAUAAUUAAGAUUAUGAAAUGUGUUAUAUGGGAUCCAUGUAAAGGAGGACUUGCCUUAUGUUGAAAUAUAGUAUUGUUAAUAAUAAUUAUUAAUAUCAAUUUUUGGAUAAUUACAAAGACAAUUAUCAAAAAAAUAAUAAUAAUCUUUAAAAACAUUGAAGAUAACAUCAAAGAGAAUUUCCUAACCUUUAGGACCUCUUUAACUUUUAAAACACACUCUCAAAAUUUGAGAAAAAAUUAUAGAGAGUCCACCUUGAGAAUUUAAGAAACUUUGCAAAUUUUCGAAAACUUGAAGAAUAAGUUUGAACAUCCAAAAAUCAAGUUUGUAGCAUAUUAAAUCCAAGAUCAAGCAUUAACAAUUUUAGUCUAUAUUACUUAAAUCAAACUUAGAUCAAGUCAAGUCAAGAUCCAAGGCCCAUACCUAGUCAAGCUUCUUUUUAGUCAUUAACCAUAAAACAAAUAUAUAUUAUUGUACUUAAUAUUUUAUAAAUUUUAAAAGGUUAAUUUGUUUCAUAUUCUCUAUUCAAGUGAAAGUUGUGCAUACACCAAUGUAUCGAGAGCUAUUUUACAAAUUAAUAAGGGUUAAUUGGUUUCUCAAUCUUCUAUUUAAGAAAAAUUUGUGCGUUCACCAACCAAUAUAUCAAGAGAUAUCUAUGUAAUUAUAAAUUUAUAUUAAAAUUAUGCCAGGUUUUUCUGAUAGAUUAUCUUAUUUCUUUCUAAUAACUAUAAUAUAUAAAUGUUUUUUAUUGUAUAAAAUGCAUAUGGUAUGUUGUUCUUGUAUACUCAUUGUGGAGAAAACAAUUUGAUGAAAUGAUAUGAUCUUACUUUGAGAGGGAGGAUAAUAAUGAGAUGAGAGACAAAACGUAAAAUCAACCCACAAGAAAAUGCAUUAUGGAUUUAAUUAAAAUAGUUCUUGUAAAAAUCAAAGCUAUUUUGCAAUAGGGAUACAAAAUUCUCUAUUUAAGAGAAAUUUGCUUGUAUACCAAUAUACCAAGAGCUAUCCCUGUAAUUACAAUAAUAAAUAAAUGUCUUUAUUUUAUAAAAUGUAUAUUAUAUACUAUUAUUAGCUAUUUAUUGUAGAGAAAACGAUUAGAUGAAAGGAUAUGAAAGUAUCAUGCAAUUCGAUGAGAGGAUUAAAAGUACAAAUAUCAUUUUAGUUAUUUAUACUCUUAAUGUGAUCUUACUUUGAAAAAUAGAACAAUAAUAAAAUGAGAGAUAUAUUAUAAAAUCAACACAUAGGAAGAUGUAUUAUAGAUUUAAUUAAAGUAGUUCCAAGUGAGGACCAAACAUAUUAUGAAAUGGGGAUACAAAGAGAUGAUCAUCUCCAUCUUAUUUAAUUUAUAUAUUGAAAAUAUAUUGUUGUGGAGCUCUUCUAUGAGAGGAGGAAUUUCUUGAACCAUAUAGCUGAAUGCUUGGGGUACCUUUUCAAGCCAUUGUCAUAAUCAACAAAGACAAUACCAAACCUAACAGUGUAACCAAAAUUCCAUUCAUAGUUAUCCAAUAAUGACCAUGCAAAAUAACUCUUCACAUUAACGCCAUCCCUACAAUAGGAAAAAAUAAAAUUACUACACCAUAUUUAGCAUAUGUUUCUUUUAUUUUGUGCUUAUUUUGUGCAAUCAAAUAAUUAUAAAAUUGUUAUAAAUAUACUUACUAUAGUCAAAAUGCAAUCACUCAAAAUUGAGUAAUUGCAAGAAAACUAAAUUCUAGAAAAAAAAAAUUUGUAUAUCAAAAUAAUAAACUCACUUGAUGGCUAAUUGAAGGAAUAGAAGAUGACGAUAGUAGUAAUCUAUCCUUUGCGGGUCCUUCAACGCCUCUUUAAGUGUUAAGGUAUUAUUAUUGACUUCAGUAAUGCCUGAAAAUAGUUUCAAACAUUUAUGUUAAUAGAAUAAAAAUGUAAUAAGAUAAUUCUUUUGAGUUAUAUGUUUCUAAGAUAACAUGUGACUGAAAAGGAAAUUAAGAAAAGGUCAUUAGUCUUACCAUUUUCAGUGAUGUAAAUAAGUGGAUUGUUGUAUUUUCUCUUCACAUAGAGUAAAAGACUCUGAAUUCCACUAGGAUAGACACUAAGCCAACUUGAACCAGUCGGCAGAUACAUUUUUCGUACGCAUAAUUAUGAAAAUGAACCAAUCAAUGACCUUUAUGCUCUAAAAAGAAGUAUACUAUGUUAUAUAAGGGUGAUAAUUCAUAUUAGCGGAUCUUGUUUUGUAUCAUGUUAAAAGUGGAACACUUGACUAAAUAAGUCAAUUCAAAGACGACAUAAAUAAUAAUUGAGUUAAAAAUAUAAAAAUACACAACCUAAUAAAACACAUUAUAUAACAUAUUUAAUCCAUUUGAUAAUUAGAUAUUAUUUAAUAGUCCAAUUGAAUUAGAUUUUGCGAGUCUAUUUAACCCUUGAAAAAAGUGUUGGAUUCGGAUCAUGCUAACAAAUUGUAUCAAACUUUUGUCACCCUAACUACAACUAUCUAUUCAUGCAUAAUAUGACUUUUUCUCAGUGUUAGAGUAACAACUUUUUUGGCCCACAUACCAUUGGACCGAUGGGGAUUCCAUUGCGUUGUGCUAUCAAAUCAAGGAAGAAAAAGAAAAAAUAUUAAUUACAUAGGUUUAUAGUGAUCAUGAAUCAAAAUUUGAGGAAUUGAAAUAAACUUACUGAUGAGAUUAGCAAGAGAAUCUGUAGAGUAGCUCACAUUAACGGUAUUGGCAACAGGAACAUUAGAUGCAUAAUUUGCAGUGUAGUAAUUCAAUCCAAGAAAAUCAAAGGACCUUUUCACUAGCAUAGAUUGCUUAGGGGUGAACUUUGGUAGUCGUGGUCCAACAAGCGUGCGCAUGCUAUAUGGAUAAUCGCCAUAGGUUAAUGGAUUUAUAAACCUAUAUAAGGACAAACAUAUAAUAAUAUUAGUGUAUUAAUUUAUAAUCAAGAGGCUAAUUGUUGAGUAUACAUGUAUAUACUAACCAUCCAAACAUGAAAUCUAGGGCUCUUAUGGCUGCUUUCUUAUCCACUUUCUUGUCAGAGUAGGGUACCAUCCAGUGAGACAACAAUGUUAUUCCAAUCUUCCCCUUUUGAGAUGCCUACAUAGUUUAUGUAUUAGCAUAACAUUUUUAGUUAAUUAAUAACUUAAUAUUAUAGUUCAUAAUUCAUUGAUAAUCCUAACUAUAGAUACACAGACGAAAUGUACUAGACUAUCCGUGAAAUUAAUUUACUAAACACUAUUGCAUACUUACCUGGUAUCUAUCCUGGUACACUUUUACUGCAGCUGCAUGAGAAAGAAGCAGAUGGUGGCCUACCAGGUAAGGCUCAAUGGCAGAGUUCCCAGCUGUGCAUGCUCCAUUAACCCACUUAGAGCAUCGUCCUGGUGCUAAGGUUCCUUGGUCAUAACCACCAUUGCUGUAAGUCCAUGGCUCGUUGAGGGUGAUCCAAUACUUCACCCGAUCGCCAAACUCCUUGAAGCAAAGCUCCGCAAAGUCCCGAAUAUAAUCUCUAUUGGAGAUAUGGUUACAUGUUAUAUAUAUAUCGUGUUCACAAACAAAAAAUUUGCCCCACAAAUGUGUUUGUAUAUAUAUUUAGAUGUAUAGUUAAAGACUCUUUUGUAAAGAUCGGUGAAUAAAGAGGGUUUGAUUCACUUACGUGAUGUGUGGGCUUAAAAAGCCACCAUACGCAUCUUCCAGUGCUUGUGGAAGAUCCCAAUGAAAUAUUGUCACGUAGGAUUGUAGACCUAUGUCAAGUGAUGAAACAUAUACGGAACAAGCUUUUUUAGUGUUUUGAUCCAAAUAGUUCAUUUCUUAGGUUGAAUGUUUGAGUUUGUGGCUUAACUUUUGCAACCUCAAUUGAAGCUUAAUUCAACCGCCUAAACGAACCAAACAAUUCAAACUAACCCCUCCUUUUGCAAGCAUGGAAGGAUACAUUGAAUUUAAAUGAUUUUUACUAAAGCCCAUGCUGGGCCUUAUCUUAUGACAAAGCCCACACACCCACCCCAACCUUUUUUUUGGGCUGAGUCUUGAGCCCACAAGACUAGCUAUGUCUUUACCUACAGUGAGGAUGAUUUUUAUAGGAGUCAUUUAAAUAUAACAAACCUCCACCAAGAGGGUUUGAACUUGGACCUCUGGUACAAUAGUCUACCUAGGACACCACUCAGCUAUAUGCACUUCAUUAUCUAAAAUGCCAAACAAAACAAUAUAUAUUAGAUUUUAAAAUUUUUUAUAAUAUUAAAUAAAAAUAAUAUAAUAUUUUUAAAAUUUUAAAAAUUAGUUUAAAUUUUCAUUUUUAAUAUGUUCACAUUUAAAUAUUAUACAUAUUUCAUUUAAUAAAAUUUAAAAUAAUAAUAUGAUUUAUUUUGAUAAUAUCAAAGAUAUAAAAUAACAUUAUUGAUUUUUAAUUUAUUCAUAUAUAUUUUAAAUUUUUUAUAAUUAUUUUUAGUUUUAAUAAUAUAUAAAUAAAAAUUUUCAUAUUUAUGACAUCACCAGUUCCGUGGUUCGACCAAUGAUUCGACCAAUGAACCGUGAACCGGUAACUUUUCCGAUUCAACAACCGGUCCAAUUCUGAAAAAAUUGGUUCUACUUCUACUCGAGCAAUUUAAUCAUAGAGUACUACAUUUAUAUACUUACUUUGAAAACUCUUUACGAGAUGAAUUAAUCUUAUGUACAUAACUAGUAUGGAUUAACCUACGCUUCAUUCAUGAAAAUUUUGAAAGAAAAGAUAAGGAAAAGAAAAUAAAAAAGAAAAAAAAGAAAAAAAUGAUAAAUAAAUUUGAAGUUAGUAGAUUAUUUUUACAUGUUUUUUUAAAAUCAUUUUACUAUUUUUUUUUUCUUUUAUAUAUAAAGAAUAAGUAAUUUGAAAAUGUUUAAGGGACUUUUCAACAAUGUUUUCAAAACAUUUAUCAAAAAACAAUUUUUCAGAAUUGUUCUUAAAAUGGGUUUCGAUUGUUUUUAUGAAAAAAAUUAUGUUUGAAAACUUUUGUAUAAUGUAAAAGUUUCUAAAGUAUUAUUUACAUUUUUAGUUGUUGCUCAACAUGUUCAUCAAAAAAAAAUUGCAAACAUUUCAAAUCUUGUUUCUUUUUAUGACAUAAUAAAUAAUAUUUUCUAGUACAUAAUAAUAUUUUAUUACUAUAGAUACUGGCAAUAAAUAUUAUUUCAAGGAUUUAAGAUUUAUAAGGAUGUAUUUAUUUAAAAUUUUCUUAACUAUUUGCCUUUUUUAUCUCCUAUUUUCUACUAAAUCUCAUAUCUCUAACAUCCUUUCCGAUUAUUCUAAUUUUUAAAAUAAAAAUAAUAAAUUUGUUUUAAACAUAAAAAAUAAUUUGAUAAUUAAAUUAAUCUAUAAAUAUAAAGCCUUUUUAGCAUGUUUAUUUAUUUUAAAAAAAAUUAUAUUGAUUAACUUAAUAUUUUAAAGAUAAAAAAAUAUAUAUCCAUUUUUCAAUUAAUUUUUAUAAUUUUAAAAAUUGUAUGCAUUUUUUAAUAUAGAAAUUAUUUUUUAAUCAUUUUUUAUUUUUUAUUUUGAUAAAAAAAUUAGGAAAAAAAAAAAUUAACCCCUUUUUCAGACCUACCCCUUACCCUAAUUUUCCAUUUGCACAUUUUUCUUCUUCUUGAGAUCUCUCUCAUCCGUCUAUCUUCUCACAAUCUCUCCCUCUUGUUUAACAUAAUCUACACUCCUCUCUUCCUCUUUCAUCUUAACACCUUCAUUUCCCCACUCCUCUUAUCUCUCACACACACAUAUUUACCCACCUUUGUUACCCGUGUGAAGUUCAAAUUGUAGCAUUGUCACCAUCAACAACACUGUAGUUGAUCAAUUUUCUCAUUUGGGGAAGGAAAUUGGAAAAGAAAAUUUUCAGAACACAAAUUUGAGGGCUUGUGGAUUUGUUCUCUAUGUGGAUUUGGGAUUUGAUUGAAUUUGUUGUAUGAUACAUUUUUUUUGAGGGUUUGUGAUUUGUUAUCUAUGAAUUUUAUUUUUAUUUUUUAUUUUUUUGUCUUCCAUGAUUUUUUUUGUGCUUUUUUUUUCUUCGGUGAACCAGUGUAGAAAAUAGGGAAAAUAACUUGAGAUUGUUGUCUAAAACCACCAAAUUAAAAACACGGAGAAUAAAUUUUAAAACAUAGAAAACAAUUGCCAAACGUGUUUUUGAGUGUUUUUUUUUAUCAAGAACAUAAAAUAGUUUUCGGAAACAGCAACCAAAUAGAAUUCAAGUAUUUUGGCAAAAUGUACAAAAUAGUUGUAAAAAUUGUAAGAUCACUUUUAGUUUUGAAAAAUGACUUGUAAUCACUUGUAGUUUUGAAAAAUUACUUAUAAUCACUUGUAAGUUUGAAAAAUUACCUAUAAUGUUUAUAUAUAUAUAUAUAUAUAUAUAUAUAUAUAUAUAUAUUUGAUAAGUGAUUCUUCUAAAAGCAUUUUUUGAGAAAACACUUCCACUAAAAACAUUCAAGUAAAAAUAUUCUUCAAUGUUUUUAGUAAAAAUACUCUUCAAUGUUUUUUAAGAGUAUGUUUAACAGUAUUUCUAUUUAUAGUGUUUUUAAAGGAAGUAUUGUUUUUUUGUGGAAGUGUUUUUAGAGGAAUUAUUAAUCAAGUGUUUGUCUAGAAAAUAUUUAAAGUGAUUUUUCAACACUAUAAAUGAUUUUUCAAUUUUUAAAAACAUUUCUUAAAAUUUGUCAAACACUUAAAUUUUUGUUUUUUGGAUAACUGAUUAAAAGGAACAAAAAAAACAUAAAAUUACAAAUUUAACCUCCCACUUUUUUUAACAAAAAAAAAAAUACUCACUUUUUUCUUGCAAAAAUAACAUUUUUCUUUUAAAACAUGCAUGUAAAUAAUGAAAAUAUUAAAAGAUAUUUAUGUAAAAAAUUGGUAAAAAAUGGGAGACACUAGUUUUAUAAAUUUGGGAUCUUUCAUCCCUUUUAAUCAAUUAAUAGUUUUUUUUUUCAAAAAUAAUUUUAAAUUAAAAGUGUUUUUUAAAUCAUUGCCUAACGAACUCUAAUCCAUCCUAGCCUAUUGUUGGAGAUAAAUAACUAAGUAAAUGAAAAUUUUACUAAUCAACUCCUAGAAUUUAUCUUUUAGUUUUUCAUUUUUUAAAUAAAUGAGUAUAAAUAUAUUAAAAGAAUUAAAAAUAAUUUUAGUAAAAAAAAAUUGAUAAAUUUGAUUAUAAUUUUAAAUAUACAUUCAUUUGGAUAAAAUUUCACAAAAAAAAAAAAAUAUGUAUAGUGGAAAGAAAGAAUAUUGAUAAAACUACAAAAACAAAAUAUGCAAUUAUAAAAUUUUGAUGAUGAAAUUUAAAAAUAAAAUUCGAAACAAUUCUUGAGUGAGAGAAUUUGAGUGUCGAAAAAUCCUCGAGUGGAAAAAAAAUGGAAAAGUUUUUCAAAAUCACUUGAAAUCCUUAAUAAAAAAUAGUCUUAUACACCCUUAUAUAAUUAGUAAAUUUGUCUUAUACAGUUAGUGUAAUACCCUAGUACAAUAACUCAAAUUUUAUACAUCAUCUCAUGAAUAUCUGACAAUAAGUCGGUUAACCAUAUUUGCAUUGGUUUAGUUUUAAAAAAAAAACAAAAACAAAAAAUUGUUGUAUAAUUUUGUUUUAUAAUCAUCAUAAGUGAGGUACCUAUUAAAAUGAUCAUAUACAAGUUAGAUAAAAUGCAUGAAAUGAAUGCAUGUUUAACCAAUGUGUGUAAGGAAUGUCAUCUAUCCUCGGUUAGGGGAAAUAAACAAACAAGUCUUUCAGAAUCACUUAAAAUCAUUCACAAAUAAUAGUUUUGUAUAUUCUUAUACAAUUAGUAUAUUUAUCAUGUACACUUAGUGUAAAUAUAUUGUACAGUGACUCAAAUUCCAUAUACCCCUACUCAAUAUGUAGUCAUAGGUAGAUUAAUCAUGUUUUCAUUGGUUUGGUUCAAAAAAUAGUGGAAGAUGGAAAAACAAAAUUUUCUCUCAAACAUUAUUAGUGGGAUAAGUAUUCGAAUUGUCAUAUACGAGUUAAGUAAAGGGCAUAAGAUGAGUGUGUAAUAAAAGAAUAUGUACCCUAAGAGUGUGCAAUUCUUAGAUGGCAAGAUAAAAAAAAAAAGUUGUCUAAGAUUGAUUGAAAUAUUUCACAAAGGAUAAUCUUGUAUACUCCUUGUAUAGUUAGAACAUUUGUCUUGUACAAUUAGGACAUUUGUCUUGUCCAAUUGAACAAUUACCUUGUACAGUUAGUAUAACAUCCUUGUACAAUGGUGCAAAUUUCAUCUAUAUGCUUACAUUAUAUGCCACAUAUAAUAAGUUAAUUAAUUAUGGCUUAAUAAGGUUUAGGGAUGUAGUUUUUUUUUUUUUUUUUUUUUUUUUUAAAUAUGUAGAACCAUCCAAACAUGAAAUCAAGGACUCUUAUAGCUGCCCUUUUAUCAAUUUUUUCGUUAGAGUAUGCACCAUCCAAUGGCUCACCAAUGCUAUCUCAAUAUCCCUCCUUUGAGUUGCCUACACAGUUCAUUCAUAAACAUUACUUUCGCUAGUUAAAUAAUUUACCCUACCGAUGAUCAUAAUAUUAAUUUAUUGAUUCAUUGCAUUUAUUGUUAUUUUCCAAUUGUGCCAAUAUCAAUAAUUGGUUUUCAUUAUUACUAAAGAUCUAUCAAAAUGUUGUCAUGUAAAUGUUUUAAAUGCUUUCACAUGGUUCUGGGUUUUCAAAAUAAUUGGUCUUUUAAACAUGAAAGUUGUUUUUUUGGUAAAGACAACUUCAAGAUUUAAUUGAAGUUGUCCCCUCCAAAUAACUUUCAACUAUAUUUGUUUAAAGUGUUGUAAAUUUUAAAAUAUUUUUUAAAUUAUAAUAUUUAAAAAAAAAUUAGAUUACUAUAUUUUUCUCAAAAUCUCCCGCCAAGAAAUGGAGUACUUGACAGUUUUCACACACUCAAAAUCUUUUUGAAUCCAGAAAAAGGCGAAAAGAAAGUGCAAAUAAUUGUAGAGUGCAUAUACCGGAUAUCAAUAAUGGAGAAUGGCUGAAUGGGCUUGUACCUCAGCACUGCUGUUGGUUUUCAAUUACUGAAUGGACUUGCCUUAUGUUGAAAUAUAGUACUAUUAAUAAUAAUUAUUAAUAUCAAUUUUUGGAUAAUUCAAAGACAAUUAUCAAAAUAAUAAUAAUUAUCUCUAAAAACAUUGAAGAUAACAUCAAAGAGAAUUUCCUAACCUUUAGGACCUCUUUAACUUUUAAAACACACUCUCAAAAUUUGAAAAAAAAAAUUAUAGAGAGUCCACUUUGAGAAUUUAAGAAACUUUACAAAUCUUCGAAAACUUGAAGAAUAAGUUUGAACAUCCAAAAAUCAAGUUUGUAGCAUAUUUAAUCUAAGAUCAAGCAUUAACAAUUUUAGUCUAUAUUACUUAAAUCAAACUUAGAUCAAGUCAAGUCAAGAUCCAAGGCCCAUACCUAGUCAAGCUUCUUUUUAGUCAUUAACCAUAAAACAAAUAUAUAUUAUUGUACUUAAUAUUUUAUAAAUUUUAAAAGGUUAAUUUGUUUCAUAUUCUCUAUUCAAGUGAAAGUUGUGCAUACACCAAUGUAUCGAGAGCUAUUUUACAAAUUAAUAAGGGUUAAUUGGUUUCUCAAUCUUCUAUUUAAGAAAAAUUUGUGCGUUCACCAACCAAUAUAUCAAGAGAUAUCUAUGUAAUUAUAAAUUUAUAUUAAAAUUAUGCCAGGUUUUUCUGAUAGAUUAUGCUAUUUCUUGUAAAAAUCAAAGCUAUUUUGAAAUAGGGAUACAAAAUUCUCUAUUUAAGAGAAAUUUGCUUGUAUACCAAUAUAUCAAGAGCUAUCCAUGUAAUUACAAUAAUAUAUAAAUGCCUUUAUUUUGUAAAAUGUAAAUUAUAUGCUAUUAUUAACUAUUUAUUGUAGAGAAAACGAUUAGAUGAAAGGACAUGAAAGUAUCAUGCAAUUCGAUGAGAGGAUUAAAAGUACAAAUAUCAUUUUAGUUAUUUAUACUCUUAACAUGAUCUUACUUUGAAAUAUAGGACAAUAAUAAAAUGAGAGAUAUAUUAUAAAAUCAACACAUAGGAAGGUGUAUUAUAGAUUUAAUUAAAGUAGUUCCAAGCGAGGACCAAACAUAUUAUGAAAUGGGGAUACAAAGAGACGAUCAUCUCCAUCUUAUUUAAUUUAUAUAUUGAAAAGAUAUUGUUGUGGAGCUCCUCUAUUAGAGGAGGAAUUUCUGGAACCAUAUAGCUGAAUGCUUGGGGUAUCUUUUCAAGCCAUUGUCAUAAUCAACAAAGACAAUACCAAACCUAACAGUGUAACCAGAACGCCAUUCAUAAUUAUCCAAUAAUGACCAUGCAAAAUAACCCUUCACAUUAACACCAUUCCUACAAUAGGAAAAAAAAAUAAAAUUACUACACCAUAUUCAGCAUAUGUUUCUUUUAUUUUGUGCAAUCAAAUAAUCAUAAAAUUAUUAUAAAUAUACUUACUAUAGUCAAAAUGAAAUCACUCAAAACUGAGUAAUUGCAAGAAAACUAAAUGCUAGAAAAAAAAAUUUGUAUAUCAAAAUAAUAAACUCACCUAAUGGCUAAUUGAAGGAAUAGAAGAUGGCGAUAGUAGUAAUCUAUCCUUUGCGGGUCCUUCAACGCCUCUUUAAGUGUUAAGGUAUUAUUAUUGACUUCACUAAUGCCUAAAAAUAGUUUCAAACAUUUAUGUUAAUGGACUAAAGAUGUAAUAAGAGAAUUCUUUUAAGUUAUAUGUUUCGAAGAUAACAUGUGACCGAAAAGGAAAUUAAUAAAAGGUCAUUAGCCUUACCAUUUUCAGUGAUAUAAAUAAGUGGAUUGUUGUAUUUUCUCUUCACAUAGAGUAAAAGACUCCGAAUUCCACUGGGAUAGACACUAAGCCAACUUGAACCAGCCUGCAGAUACAUUUUUCGUACACAUAAUUAUGAAAAUGAACCAAUUAAUGACCUUUAUGUUCUAAAAAGAAGUAUACUAUGUUAUAUAAGGAUGAUAAUUCGUAUUAGUGGGUCUUGUUUUGUAUCAUGUUAAAAAAGGAACACUUGACUACAUAAGUCAAUUCAAAGAUGACAUAAAUAAUAAUUGAGUUAAAAAUAUAAAAAUACACAACCUAAUAAAACACAUUAUAUAACAUAUUUAAUCCAUUUGAUAAUUAGAUAUUAUUUAAUAGUCCAAUUGAAUUAGAUUUUGUGAGUCUAUUUAACCCUUGAAAAAAGUGUUGGAUUCGGAUCAUGCUAACAAAUUGUAUCAAACUUUUGUCACCUCUAACUACAACUAUCUAUUCAGCCAUAAUAUGACUUUUUCUCAGUGUUAGAGUAACAACUUUUUUUGCCCACAUACCGUUGGACCGAUGGGGAUUCCAUUGCGUUGUGCUAUCAAAUCAAGGAAGAAAAAGAAAAAAAUAUUAAUUACAUAGGUUUAUAGUGAUCAUGAAUCAAAAUUUGAGGAAUUGAAAUAAACUUACUGGUGAGAUUAGCAAGAGAAUCUGUAGAGUAGCUCACAUUAACGGUAUUAGCAACAGGAACAUUAGCUGCAUAAUUUGCAGUGUAGUAAUUCAAUCCAAGAAAAUCAAAGGACCCUUUCACUAGCAUAGAUUGCUUAGGGGUGAACUUUGGUAGUCGUGGUCCAACAAGCGUGCGCAUGCUAUAUGGAUAAUCGCCAUAGGUUAAUGGAUUUAUAAACCUAUAUAAGGACAAACAUAUAAUAAUAUUAGUGUAUUAAUUUAUAAUCAAGAGGCUAAUUGUUGAGUAUACAUGUAUAUACUAACCAUCCAACCAUGAAAUCUAGGGCUCUUAUGGCUGCUUUCUUAUCCACUUUCUGGUCAGAGUAGGGUACCAUCCAGUGAGACACCAAUGUUAUUCCAAUCUUCCCCUUUUGAGAAGCCUACAUAGUUUAUGUAUUAGCAUAACAUUUCUAGUUAAGGAUUAUAGCAUUGAUAACGAUUUUUCCAUUCUUAAAGACUCAAAUUUUGAUUAACAAUUGGAAAAACUAUUUUAAAUUUUGUUACAUGUUAUGUAAUAGUCCAAAUGCUAAUGAACUUUAUAUGAAUUAAUUGCUAAUCUAUCAUUAAAAACUCAAGUUUUUAGGUUAGUUAAUAACUAAAUUUUAUAGUUCAUAAUUCAUUCAUAAUACUAAGUAUGGAUACACAGACCAAAUUUACUAGACUAUACCUGAAUUUUACUAAAAACUAUUGCAUACUCACCUGGUAUUUAUCCUUGUACACUUUUACUGCAGCUGCAUGAGAAAGAAGCAGAUGGUGGCCUACCAGGUAAGGCUCAAUGGCAGAGUUCCCAGCUGUGCAUGCUCCAUUAACCCACUUAGAGCAUCGUCCUGGUGCAAAGGUUCCUUGGUCAUAACCACCAUUGCUGUAACUCCAUGGCUGGUUGAGGGUGAUCCAAUACUUCACCCUAUCGCCAAACUCCUUGAAGCAAAGCUCCGCAAAGUCCCGAAAAUAAUCUCUAUUGGACAUUUGGUACAUGUUAUAUAUAUAUCGCGUUCACAAACAAAAAAAUUUGCCCCACAAAUGUGUUUGUUUAUAUAUUUAGAUGUAUAGUUAAAGACUCUUUUGUAAAGAUCGGUGAAUAAAGAGGGUUUGAUUCACUUACAUGAUGUGUGGGCUUAAAAAGCCACCAUACUCAUCUUCCAGUGCUUGUGGAAGAUCCCAGUGAAAUAUUGUCACGUAGGGUUGUAGACCUAUGUCAAGUGAAACAUAUACGGAACAAGCUUUUUUAGUGUUUUGAUCCAAAUAGUUCAUUUCUUAGGUUGAAUGUUUGAGUUUGUGGCUUAACUUUUGCAACCUCAAUUGAAGCUUAAUUCAAUUACGAUACUCAUAAGGGUGCAUUUUUGGCCCAACUGCUGGCUUAUCCCAAACCCAUCUAGUGUUGGGCUCUAUCUUAUGUAUUAGUCCAUCCUAAAAUGAUGGUUGGGCCGGUCACAUCGAAGUCCAAUUCCCACCCGAUCUGUUGAUAUCCUAGAUUUAGGUUCAUCAAUGUUGGUGGGUGCAACUCGAACGAGUUAUCUUGGUGGUAGGAAUGGCAACGGGGCGGGUUCGGGACGGGUCGUCCCCAUCCCAACCCCGCCCCGUUUAGCAAAACCAAUUCCCAUCCCCGCCCCGUUUAGCUUUUUUUUUUUUUUUUAAAAAAAACAAUUACUUAAAAAAAAUUAAUUACAUUAAAAUAAAUAUAUUUUAUAAAUAAUAAAAUUAUUAUAUUUUUUAUAACUUAUUUUAUUAAAAAAAUUUAUUAUUAUCUAUAUAUUAAAAAUAAUAAAAUUAAAUUUUAAAUUAAAUUAAUUUUAAAAUUAAAUUAAAUUUUAAAUUAAAUUAAUUUUAAAAUUAAAUUAAAUUAAAAUUUAAAAUUAAUUUUAUAUGUAAACGGGGCGGGGCGGGGUGGGGCAAUACCCGAACCCGCCCCGAACUCGUCCCGGGUUUUAAAAAAAAAUCUCAUACCCGUCCCAAACCCGUUUAAUAAAUUUUAACCCUGUCCCAUUAGGGGCGGGGCGGGGCGGGUACCCAAAAAAACCCGCCCCGUUGCCAUCCCUACUUGGUGGUCAACCCAAACAUGAAAAUUAUUUAUUUAAACUUUAAGCUAACCAAAUUAAUGUUCAAUUUAAAUUACCUAAAUCAAGUUCAACUUAAGCUUAUUUUUCUAAAUGUAAGUAAAAAUUUAGAUUUGUAAUUAGUAUUUGGGUAAAUGAGUAGAGUUAGCUCAAGUUGCAGCCUCAAAUAUGACUAGCUAAUCAUCAAAAUAUAAAGAGAUAAGAGGGAGUAAUGACCUUUUGAUAGUAGUUCAUUGAUGAGAUUGUUGUAAAAGUUGAUACCUUCCUUGUUUACUCCUCCGCUUAGCUUCCCACCUAAGUUACAAAAAUUUAUAUUUGUUCCAAUCAAAAGAAAAUGGAAUAUAUGCUACACCCGUAGGAAUAAAAUGUCAAUUUUCUCCUAAUCAUGUAAUGAAUAAUUUUUAUUAUUAUUAUUAUUAUUAUUAUUGAGAUCUACUUAACUAAAUAGUCAUUCAAGGGUUGUUCUUUUGGGAGACAUUGAUAUGUCAUCCUUAAUGCUUUUCAAUUAAUGGCACAACAUAUUGUCUAGGUUAAUACUAAUUAUAAUUGGAAUCUUUCUUAAAUAUUAUCCUUAAACAAUAUUAACAACGAGCAAGACUUUCUAGAUUUAACAAUAUUUUUGGUGAACUUAGGUCAUUGCUACUCUUUAAUGUUACUUGUUAUGAUGUUAAGUCUGUAAAAAAAAUAUAUAUAUAUAUAAUAUAAGCUUUGUAUGCUUAUGACAGUAAGUCUAAAGAUGAUAUACUAUGAAUUUUUUUUAAAUAACCAUUUCUAUGGCAAACAAAAGUAAUGUCAAAAUCAAUGAUUAUUUAAUUACAUUUUUAUAUAAGAUCAGUUAAUUUAUCAUUUUUAGAUUUUGUUAAUUAACAAUGAUGUCUCUUUUACUAAAACUUAUUUUACUUCAAAUAUAUAUUAAAACUUUUGUUGAUUGCAUUCCACAAAUAUAUAAAUAUGAAAAAAAAUCUCUUGAUAUAUGAUUAUCUUUUUAAUUGUCAUUAGGUGCAAUACCUCUCGGUAUCAAAUUUUUUAUACUUAUAAAAGGAGAUUUAUCUAAUGUGUUUAAUUAAAUAUGUUGUGACGUUGUGAGAGAUGGUAGAUUUGAAAUAGUUAAGAUUUAAUACAUUACUAGUGGGUUGUGACUUAUUAUUGAAAAGUUCAUGAGUUGAUUAAUAGAAACAUCAUGCAGAACCAUCCACCAACAUAUAGGUAGUAGACAAUAUUUACACAUGACAUGAAUUUACUAAUAGUUUAUUACAUUUUUUUAAUAUUUGUUUCAUGUUGAAUUGUUACAAUCAAGGAAGAUAUGAUAUAAAGAAUUUUUUAAACAGAUGAACUGGUAUGACCUUAUUUGCCAUUCCAUGAGACAUAUGAGAUCACCUAAGAGUCAUUUCUAUGGAUUUGUCUCUUCCAUCAUCUAGUCAAAAUUAUGCUUAUUCAAAUCAGGGUUGGAAACUUCACUAGCCAAAGAAUCAACUUCAAUGUGGAAAAAGGGGCAAUGAUUUUUCCUUUUCUUUCCUUAUUUCUUUUUAAAGCUGACUUCUUUGUUGUGUGGGAAAAAAAUAAAAUUAAUUACUAAUUAAAUAUCACAAUUCUUCUAACAUUUUCAUACUUCAUUAAGAAAUCCGAAUAGAAAAUUAAAUAAUUUAUAAAAUUAUUGAAACAAAAAACUUACGAGGCAACACUCUAGACCAAGAUAUUGAGAAUCUAAAAGCGUCCAAUCCCAAUUCCUUCAUUGUAUGCACAUCUUCCUAUUCAAUUUAAAUAUGUUAUUGACAAAUAUCACUAUAAAUUUUAUAAUAUUAACGCAAGGAAAAUGAAAAGGAAAAGAUAAUAUGAGGAAUUUCAUACCUUAUAAUGAUGAUAAAAAUCAUUUGCAACAUCGCCAUUGCUACCAUCUAUUAUUCUUUCUGUAUUAUCAACAUAAAAUAUAAUUAUCUAUUGAUUAGGUUUUAAUCUUAUUUAAAUUAUUUCAACAUGAUUUUAUAAAAUUAUAAUUUAUAUGUUCUUAAGUAAAAGCAUAUAUACAAAUUUAAUAUAUAUAUAAAAUUAAAAAAAUUAGAAAUAUUUCAUCUUUCUAUCUUUAAUAUUAAUGGAAUAAAUUAUAAUAAGGGUAAAAUAUAAAUAUACUAAAAUUUCUAAUUUGAUUAAAUAGCAUAAACAUAGUAUUUAUAAUUUACUAGUAAGAAGACAUAUUCUAACAUUAAAAAAAAAUUACAAUUUAAUUUUAUUUAAUAUAUUAUGUCAUUUUAUUAUCUUAAAAAUUAUUAAAUGAAAAACCAACUAUCCAAACUGUACCUUAGGUCUAAUGUGUAGAAUAACUUAACAGCUAAAUUAAUCCAGUUGCAUGACUGGUAGAUGGGACCAAUGUUAUUUUAAUGUAAUUUUUGUGACACCAGCAUGAAUCCAUCAUUGAGAGAACCCAAUAAAAUCAUUUAUUACAACAAGAAAAAAAUGAAUUUCCAUCAACAUUAAUCAUAUCUUACCAUUGAAUAAUAGUUUGAUUUACAAAUAUGACUGAGAUUGGUUUUUGGUGUGAAUCAGGGAGUUCAAUUUUCUCGAGAAAUAAAAGGUAGAAAAAGGGGACAGGUGAUUGCAAGCCAACUGGUCCAACACAAAUUCAAAAGAUUUACAAACACUGGGUAUGGUAAUGAUGGGUAGCCACCCUACCCUAUAAGAAUAAACGGAUUAAUUUAUCCUACUUCCAGCCCAAAUUAAAUAAAAAAUUAUUUUAAUAUGAUAUUUUCAUUUUCUUAACUUAUAUAAAUCGAAAAAAAAAACUACUUUUCAUAAAAAUAAUUAUAAAAUUUAUAAUAUUUAUUUGUUUGUAUAUUAUAUUUAUUUUUAACAUAAUUUUAAGAAAUAAAAAACAAAUAAGAUAGGUUUUUACAGCGAUUUAUCCUAUCCUCUUUCAUUUGUUAUUAUUAUUAUUAUUAUUAUUUGGGACAAAGAAUCACAUCCCAUCUUAUUAUGAUCCUUAGUAAUCUCUCCUAGACGCAAAACUCAAAUAUUUCAAAUGUUCUUUUUUUUUAGAAUUUUCUUUAGAAAAAAAAUAAAAAAAAAAUAUUAUUAUUAUUAUUAUUAUGGAUUUUUAGUUUUAAAACUCAAAUGUUAGCCCAAACCCUCAAGCUUAAAUACAAACACAAUUAUUAUAAACUUUUUGUAUGAAAAGAAGUCAUGAAAAUCAACUCAAAGAGAGACCGGGGUAUUUAUGACUGAAAGUAUCCCAUAUACUUGGACCUCUGCCACCUUCUUUUGCCGCACCUUCAUACUGAAAAAUCCAUGCAUACAUCACAUUAACAUACAAAAAUAUGAAUAUGAUAUGAUAUAGAAUAUGUAGUAUACAAAAAUUCAAAUUUGAAUAUUUGAAAUUCAUGGAAAAAAAAAAUGAAUUUAGGUUGAAAGAAAUGAAAUUUAGGUCUAAAGCAAUCACACCAUGACAUGGUACAAAUUAAAGAGAAUUUUUUGACAAAAAUAUCUCCUUACCUGAUAAGAAGCCGAGGCUGUUCCAAAAAUGAAACCGGCCGGAAAACUACUCCGAUUGAAGGAGGCAGCUUUCACUGGUUCAGUCCAAGCCAAUGAGCUAACCAAGAUCAGUAGGCCUAGAAGCAAUGAGCACUGAUGAGCUGCCAUGAGAUGCUGUGGUUUGAAGGUUCAUCUUCACUCCCUUUAUAUAGAUCUAAAUUGAGGAAAUCAAUCAACUGAUGUCAUGACAUUUUUUACUAUAAAAUAAGGUUUUAUUAUCUAUAUAUAUAUAUAUAGACUACCUAAAACUGUUACUAUAUAAUAACAAUAAAAAGGAAAAAAAAUAUAUUUUUUCUCUUUUAAAAUUCCAAUUGCAAACAUUGAGCUUGAGACUGGAACCCCUUUAUUUAAUUUAUUUUGGAUAAGAAGAUAAAAAAGCUUGAUUUCAAGACUUAUGUCUACUUUUGGCCAAUCAUGCAGAAAGUUAGCACUUCAUGUGGCCUAAUGACAUCUUAUUGGAUCUGGAAUUGACCCUAGUGGGACCAUUGAAAUCCCAAGUUUUAAUAUCUGUCUGUACGAUUUCUUAUAGCAACAGAUCAGAUACAGUUUUGUAAUAAAAUAUUGUUUUAGGGCAUGUGAAGCUUUGUGAAACACAAGCUGCAGCUGGCAGUAUGAAAAGUUUCAGGGGAGAAUUGUGUUUUGGGCGGCUGGCCCAAAAAUUAGUAUCAGUUAAUAUAUCUUACAUAAUUAAGUCCAAUACUUAAAAAAUUAAAAAAUAAAAAAAUAAAAAAUAAAAAAUAAAAAAUAAAAAAUAAAAAAUAAAAAAUGGUUUAAAAAUUAAGAAGAAAGAUAUUAUUUUUCAUCUAUUUCUAAAAUACCUUUAAUUCUUAUAUAGGCGAGUGUAAAUUUUAAUUUUUUAUUUUUUUUCUUUUCUAUUCCUUAUUAAAUAUUAUUCAUUUCUAAUUUUUUUUUCUUCUAAUCUAUAAUUCUAUUUUAUGUCAAAUAAAAAUCAAUAAUAUUUUUUUUAUUUUUUAUUUUAUUUUUGAAGAUAUUGAAUCUUUUUACUCUUAUUAUAAAUAAGGAUAAAAAUUUUGAGAUUUUUCAUCCAAAUAUUUUUUAUCUUUUUGUAUUUAUCUUUUAGUUUAAUUUAAAUUUUUUAUUUUAAAUUUAUAGUACCAUUUCAUUUAUACUUUUAUCUUAUUUUUAAUUAUUUUUUAUAUUUUCUACAUUAACCAUAUUUUAAAUUUUUUUAAAAUUGACUAUCACUUCACUCUUAUUAUAUAUAUAUAUCCUUUUAGUUUUUUAAUUUGUAAUGUUUUUAUUUUAAAAUUUUUUAAAAGAUAAAUUUAUUGAAAAAAAUAACUAAGAUAUGAAGUUCUAAUAUUAUAUUAAUAAUUUUUUUUUAUCUAGAUAGACUAAUGCAAAGUAUUUUGACUCUCAAUAAGAAAAUUAUCAAUACAAUUUUUUAGUGAAACUUUAUAAAUUAAAUUUCAAAUAAAAUAUAUUAUAUAAAAUUUUAUCCAAGAAUUAUUGACAGUGAUAUUUAAUUUUUUUUAUUGACUUUCUAACUUAUCUAAUUUUUUACUUGAAAUGUAAUAGAACAUGUUUACAAAAAAAUUAGUUUUUCAUUUUUUAAAUAAAUGACUAUAAAUAUAUUAAAAGAAUUAAAGAUAAUUUUAGUAAAAAAAAUUGAUAAAUAUGAUUAUAAUUUUAAAUAUAGAUUCAUUUGGAUAAAAUUUCACCAAAAAAAAAUAGUGGAAAGAAAGAAUAUUGAUAAAACUAUAAAAACAAAAUAUGCAAUUACAAAAUUUUGAUGAUGAAAUUUAAAAAUAAAAUUCGAAACAAUUCUUGAGUGAGAAAAUUUGAGUGCGGAAAAAUCCUUGAGUGGAAAAAAAAUGUGAAAAUUUUUCAAAAUCACUUGAAACCCUUAACAAAAAGUAGUCUUAUACACCCUUGUAUAAUUAGUAAAUUUGUCUUGUACAGUUAGUGUAAUACCCUAGUACAAUAACUCAAAUUUCAUACAUCAUCUCAUGAAUAUCUCACAAUAAGUCGGUUAACCAUGUUUGCAUUGGUUUAGUUUAAAAAAAAAAAACAAAAAAACAAAAAAUUGUUGUAUAAUUUUAUUUUAUAAUCAUCAUAAGUGAGGUACCUAUUAAAAUUAUCAUAUACAAGUUAGAUAAAGUGCAUGAACUGAAUGUAUGUUUAACCAAUGUGUGUAAGGAAUGUCAUCUAUCCUCGAUUAGGGGAAAUAAACAAACAAGUUUUUCAGAAUCACUUGAAAUCAUUCACAAAUAAUAGUCUUGUACACUCUUAUACAAUUAGUAUAUUUAUCAUGUACAUUUAGUGUAAAUAUUUUGUACAAUGACUCAAAUUCCAUAUACCCCUACUCAAUGUGUAACCAUAGGUAAAUUAACCAUGUUUUCAUUGGUUUGGUUCAAAAAAUAGUGGAAGAUGGAAAAACAAAAUUUUCUCUCAAACAUCAUUAGUGGGAUAAGUAUUCGAAUUAUUAUAUGCGAGUUAAAUAAAGAACAUAAGAUGAGUGUGUGAUAGAGGAAUAUGUACCUUGAGAGUGUGCAAUCCUUAGAUGACAAGACAAAAAAAAAAAAAGUUCUUCAAAAUUGAUUGAAAUAUUUUACAAAGGAUAGUCUUGUAUACCCCUUGUAUAGUUAGAAUAUUUGUCUUGUACAAUUAGAACAUUUGUCUUGUCCAAUUGAACAAUUAUCUUAUACAGUUAGUAUAAUACCCUUGUACAAUGAUGCAAAUUUAAUCCAUAUGCAUAAUUAAUUAUGGCUUAAUAAGGCUUAGGCAUGCAAUUUUUUAUUUUUUAUUUUUUAUUUUUGAAAUAUGUACAACCAUCCAAACAAGAAAUCAAGGGCUCUUAUAGCUGCCUUUUUAUCAAUUUUUUCGUUAGAGCAUGUGUGGACCCGCAUUUUUCAUGUGCGGGCCACUCGAUCGGCGAGACUCGUUUUUUAUUAUUUGUGAAAAAUUAAUUUUUUGAAAAAAAAGUUGGAGUCACCACUUAUUUUAUUUUUAUUUUAAAGAUAAAAUAAAACAAGAAAUAAAACUCUAAAAAAUGACUCCAUAAUUUUUGGAAAAGCGUGUCUUUGAAAAACUCGAGUCUAAGUCCGGGAAUCAGGUUACCUAUUGGGAAGAUACCUUUAAAAGGUAGCACCCUUCUAAGCCCUAUAAAGAUCUCUACUAACUAAGUUAAGGGGAAUGUGGCAAUUAAUCGGUUAAUUAUGGAUACCUAAGUAGGCUAGGUGGUUCCAAAAAAUAGCAUGCCAAACAAGAUCAAAUCACAAUAAAGGAAGGUUAGGAUGCGUACCCGGACCACUUCUCAAGCGCUAUCAUAAAACAUCAAUGGUUAAUUUAAACAAUAUAUCAUUCAACAUGUAUUUUAUUAGAAAUAAUCAAACAAUGAAACAUGUAUAUCGGAACACUCAAGCAUUAUUAGACAUAGGCAUUAUUUCACAAUGACAAGCAUAUUCACAGAAUUCAGAAAAUAGGUGAUAGAGGACAUACAUGGAUAGCAUAGAUAACUUACAAUGCGCUUCCAUAAGACAUGAGGGAUUAGAUAAUAAUAAAAUAAAGAAACCCUAGCAUGCUUGUUAUCUAAUUAGCAUAAAAAAAUUAUCAAAGUAUAUGAAAACAUUAAUUAUCACACACAUCUUGUAUACAAUUCCUAAAAAAGAUAGACAUAAUUUCAACAAGUGACAAAGAUGGCAACAAAAAUAAUUUUUGAAAAGAUUUUCUUAUGUGGGGGUUUCACCAAUUCCCCAAAUUAAUAUACAUGAAUUUAGCCCAGAAUUAUCCCAUUAUUUAGGAUCACAAGCUUUGAUUCAUGUUUUUGUUCAAAACCAAACUUUUUGUUGAAAACCGAUAAGGAUGCAAACCGAACAAGAUAUGGUUGCAUAUUAUUUUUAAAUAAAAAAAAUUUGAUCCUGAGGACUCUAAAUGAGUUUUUGAAAUAGAUUUUUAAAAUGAUUUUUUGAGAAAAGUAUUUUAUUUUAAAAUAAAAGGAAUUAAUUUGAAAAAAAUAAAAUAUAAGAAAUAAAAUACCAAGGGAAAUAGAAGGGAACAAAUUCACAAAAUAAAGAUUUUUUAAAAAUCAUGUAAACUAAAGUGGUGAGAGUAGAGACCAAUCUUCAUUAUUGUCCGAUGGCCUCUAAAUAGUGAAUUUUGCAAGAGACUACCAGAGUAACGAACUAUUCAAACUUAGAUCAAAUGAGCUAAUGAGACAUUCAUCAAAAAUUAAAGACUAGUAUUCAAGAAGUACAUAAAUUGAGCAUAACAAUCAAGAAUUAACAUAAAAUUGGCUAAACACACAAGUACACCUAAAUUUAAAAAAUAAAAAUAAUUCGAAACUAUACUCAAUUAGAAUUAAAAACAUAAGCUUUAUGUGAUGGGAUUAAGUAAACUGUUGGAUUAAAAUCAUUAACAAGAUUAAAACUAAGCUAUGCUAUAAUUUAAGACAUAAGUUUUAUUUAACAAAAAUUAAUUAAACUAUUAAAUUACAACCACAAAUGCAUCCAAACUAAAAAAAGAUAAAUUAUAACAAAACUAAAUCAGAAUUAAAAAUAAAUAAAUAAAUAAAUAAAAUUUUUCUAAUCAGAUUAUUUUAAACUAAUGAAUUAAAAUCAAUAACACAUUUAGACUAAAUCAUAAAUCAAAACUAAACUAAUUCAGGAUAAAAAAAACGUAAAUUUUAUUUGACAAUAUUAUUUAAACUAAGGAAUUAAAACUACAAACACACUCAGAACAAAAAGGUAGGUUAAAACUGAAUUAAUUCAGAAUAUAAAUCUUAUCUAACAGAAUUAUUUGAAGUAAUAAAUUAAAAUUAUAAACAUAUUUAAACUAAUAGAUAAAUUAAAAAUAAACUAAUUUGGGAUAAUAAAAAAUAUGAACUUUAUUCAAUAUGAUUAUUUAAAGUAAAGAAUUAAGAUCAACAAAAUACAUUUAAACUAAAAACGAAUUGAAAUCAAACUAAUUGGGAUUAAAAAUACAAACUUUAUUUAAUAUGAUUAUUUAAACUUAAGAAUUAAGAUCAACAAAAUACAUUUAAACUAAAAAAACGAAUUAAAAUCAAACUAAUUGGGGUUAAAAAUACAAACUUUAUUCAAUAUGAUUAUUUAAACUUAAGAAUUAAGAUCAACAAAAUACAUUUAAACUAAAAACAAAUUGAAAUCAAACUAAUUGAGAUUAAAAAUACAAACUUUAUUAACGUAAUUAUUUAAAACAAAGAAUUAAGAUCAACUAAUGCAUUUAAAUUAAAAACGAAUUGAAAUAAAACUAAUUGGGAUUAAAAAUACAAACUUUAUUAACGUGAUUAUUUAAAGUAAAGAAUUAAGAUAAAAAAGAUACAUUUAAACUAAAAAACGAAUUGAAAUCAAACUAAUUGGGAUUAAAAAUACAAACUUUAUUUAACGUAAUUAUUUAAAGUCAAGAAUUAAGAUCAACAAAAUACAUUUAAACUAAAAACGAAUUGAAAUCAAACUAAUCGGGAUUAAAAAUACAAACUUUAUUAACGUGAUUAUUUAAAACAAAGAAUUAAGAUCAACUAAUGCAUUUAAAUUAAAAACGAAUUGAAAUCAAACUAAUUAGGAUUAAAAAUACAAACUUUAUUAACGUGAUUAUUUAAAGUAAAGAAUUAAGAUCAACAAGAUACAUUUAAACUAAAAACGAAUUGAAAUCAAACUAAUUGGGGUUAAAAAUACAAACUUUAUUCAAUAUGAUUAUUUAAACUUAAGAAUUAAGAUCAACAAAAUACAUUUAAACUAAAAACAAAUUGAAAUCAAACUAAUUGGGAUUAAAAAUACAAACUUUAUUCAAUAUGAUUAUUUAAACUUAAGAAUUAAGAUCAACAAAAUACAUUUAAACUAAAAAAACGAAUUGGAAUCAAACUAAUUGGGGUUAAAAAUACAAACUUUAUUCAAUAUGAUUAUUUAAAACAAAGAAUUAAGAUCAACUAAUGCAUUUAAAUUAAAAACGAAUUGAAAUCAAACUAAUUGGGAUUAAAAAUACAAACUUUAUUUAACGUGAUUAUUUAAAGUAAAGAAUUAAGAUCAACAAAAUACAUUUAAACUAAAAAACGAAUUGAAAUCAAAUUAAUUGGGAUUAAAAAUACAAACUUUAUUUAACAAGAUUAUUUAAAGUAAAGAAUUAAGAUCAACAAGAUACAUUUAAACUAAAAACGAAUUGAAAUCAAACUAAUUAGAAUUAAAAAUACAAACUUUAUUCAAUAUGAUUAUUUAAACUUAAGAAUUAAAAUCAUUAACAAACUUAAACUAAAAGAUAGAUUGGAAUUAAACUAAUUGGGGAUUUAAAAAGAAAAUAAUAUAAACUUUAACACAAAGAAUUAAUCAAAAACUAAAAUUUCCAAAAAAAAUCUAGGCUAAAUAAAAGUACUAUAUAGAAAACUAACCUUUGAAGUGAAAGAGAAAAUCCUCUCUUGAUGAUUAAAUGGCAGCCCGAUCUCCGUUCAAAGUCCCUUGUUUUUUUUCCAAAAUUCCAUGUGUUCUCUUUAAAAAAAAAAAAAAAAUCUGCUUUAUGUUUGAAUCUCUAAAAAAAAACCCAUUCUAAAAAAUUCUUAUUGUUCUCUCUAUCCCCCCAAAAAAUAAAAAUCUCUAACUUUUUUUUUUAAUCUCAUGAUGGCAGUCUACUCCUUAUAUGGCUGUGAGAGAUUCCCCAUUUUUUUCCUUCUUUUUCCAAUCUUCCCAUUCAAAAACAAUCCUCCUAAUUUCAAACUCCCUCUCCAAAACCUUCCAAGGAGAGUCUCACUUUUCUUAAACUUCAAUGGUAAGUUUCCUUGCAAAAACAUGAAAUUUUUUUUAAUUAAAUAAUUAAAUGAAUAAAUAAAUGAGUAGAUAAAUUAGAAAAAGGUAAAACAAUAAUAAAUAAAUAAGUUAAUUAAAAAACUAAGAAAAAUAAUAUAAAAAGGAAUAUAACAAAUAAAAAUAAACAAGUGAUUGAUAAUAAUAAAAAUGAAACUAAAAAUAAAAAUAAACAAAUAAAUAAAAACUGAGCCCCACAAGCCAUGCAACCAUGCAAGUCAUAUAAGUCACGCUAAAAAUGUCAUAAUGGGCCAAGUGUGCCUAAAUGGGCCAAGGGUGCCUAAGUGGGCCUAAGGUGCCUAAGUGGACCUAGGGUGCCUAAAUGGGCCAAGGGUGUCUAAGUGGGCUUAGGGUGUCUAAGUGGGCCUAGGGUGCCUAAAUGGGCCAAGGGUGUCUGAGUGGGCUUAGGGUGCCUAAAUGGGCCAAGGGUGUUUGAGUGGGCUUAGGGUGCCUAAAUGGGCCUAAGGUGUCUAAGUGGACCUAGGGUGCCUAAAUGGGCCUAGGGUGCCUAAGUGGACCUAGGGUGCCUAAAUGGGCCUAGGGUGCCUAAGUGGGCCUAGGGUGCCUAAGUGGGCCUAAGUAGACUACCCUGAAAGCUAUCCUAAAAAUGAAUGAAAAGUCUAAGUCUAAAAUAGGGUUGCCAAGGAUCACAAUAAGGGGUCAGAUAAUCCCUCAACCAAAGUCUCCAAGGUGACUCAAAAAAUGGUAAGUUAUACGAAUAAUAAUGGGCCACCAGGAAACUACUAUGGGGCAUUUGAAACGAAUUUAAAGACAUGUGCUAAAGGGAUAAAAUUGAGGGUCUACAGUAGGCACCAUCCAAUGGCUCACCAAUGCUAUCUCAAUAUCCCUCCUUUGAGUUGCUAUAGAUUCCCAUUUCUUUUGACUCUCAGCUUUUUCCCGCCACCUUUGAGGAAUGGCUGGGGGGGAUGGCUUGGAGGUUGAGCUGCAGGGGACGCAUGGCUGUGAAGGUGAUUGUUGCCAUGGUGGUGGUUAGGGCUCCAGAAAAUGUUGAGCGAUGAACAGGGGAGUGGUUAGGGGCUUCCAGGUGAAGACCAAAGAGCUCCAGAGAAAGGGGGAUUUUUUUUUUUUCCAGGUAGCCUAAGGGAAGCUGAAAACAAAAGCUUGAGGGAGGACAGAAAAGGAAGAGGUCUUUAUUUUUUUUGGAAGGAGAGAGCUAGGUAAAAGAGAAGGAGUGGCUCGCCAGGUAUGUUUGAUGUUUCCGUUGACUUCUAUGCUGCUCAUAUGCUUACCAUUUUUUUUUUAUUGGAUUUUAUUAUUCAUGCCAGUUUCGGAUUGAGGUUAUUGAGGCUCAGUUCUGGCUUGCUCUAUUUCAUAUUGAUUGUUUUUCAUUUGAAUCUGCUAGUGUUCGAUUAUUUAUUUAUUUAUUUAUUUUAUUUCUUUCCAUUUUCGUAUGUUUGUUCUAUGUUCUUUUUCUCCUUCAAACUCUCCUCCCAUCUUCAUACCCAUUACCAAUCUCCUCCUCUGAACCCACACCGAACUCAGUCUCACUCGCCGUCAAGAUGAUGUUUAAAGGGAUUGUUUCUCAUGCAAAAUCUGGGGUGAAACUUAAAGCUUUUGAGGGAAAAUUUAUGGUGCGGCGUCGAAGACCGAUAAGUUGACGCUCAAGAAGACAGAGAUGCUGGCUUUGAUUCUGGUUCAAAUCCCAGUUAAGGAGUUUCCACAGACCAUUCAUUUGGACUGUAAAUCCUGGUGGUCCAUCAUCGCUGAACCCCACUGCUAGUUGGAUACCGAUGUAAAAAAUUGGUGUUGCCAUUGGAAACGCUUCAACUGAGUGGACUCGUUCAUCCGCAAACUCAUGCACCGCAACCGUGGAAUGUGCAAGAAGCUCUCUGCUUACAGACUCAGCGACCUCGACUCCGCUUUUGCUACUAAUUGGGUGAGAUGCGUUAAGGUGUUGCAAAUUCCAAUGAGUGAGGUCUCAAACAAAGGCUGAAGCAAAAACAAAUAAAUAAAUAAAUAAAAUCAACAAAGUAGUACAUAACCAAUUAUAAAAUAUAUGAAGCCUACAGACACCAUUAACAUUGAUGGACCCAUUUUUUUUUUUAUUAAAUGCCCUCAUCUCUUUCUUAAUUUCCAAAUCACAUUUUCAAAUACUAAUUUUUAAAACUUAGGUUUUUAAAUCUAAUUUCCAAAAUCUCAAUUCUCAACUAAUUUUUCAAAAAUUCCAAAAUGUUUUCAAAUAAUUUUUAAAACUCCAAUUUCUUUCAAAAAUUAAUUUUUAAAACUCCAUUUCUUAAAUUUAAUUUUAAAAAUUCCAAACUCUCAAAUAACUUUUAAACUUCCAUUUUCUUUCAAAUUUAAUUUCUAAUUUUAAAAUUUAAUUUUCAAAACUCUCAUUUUCGAUUUUUUUUUAAAUGUCAAUCUUUUUAAAUUUAAUUUUUAAGACUCCAACUUUCAAAUGUUUUUUUUUAAUUCCAUUUUUUUAAAAUGUAAUUUUUAAUGAUUUCAAUUUUCAAAACUCCAAUUUUCUUUCAAAUAGUUUUAAUUCUGCUCCAUUUUUCAAUUUUUUUUAAUUCACAAAUUUUCUUUGAUUUUCAAUUUUUAUUUUAUUUAUUUAUUUAUUUUUUAAAGCAUGAAUGAAUUUUUCAUAAUUCCAAACUAAUGGAAUUUGUGAGAUUAAUUCAUGCAAGAUCAAUCAGGCUUUGGUGGAGGCCCUAAAUAUUAAGAUUUCUAUUCUGAUUAUUAAUUGAUAUGCCUAAUAAAUAUUGUUUGAUUUUUGUUCUGAUCUUUGACACGUAUGUGAUAAUUUUACACUUGAGCUGACAUCGUUUGCAUGAUAGCGCACUAUUAUUGAGCAACAAUUAUAUGUAUUUUACACUUGAGAUGAUUCAUGUUACAUCAGUACAUAGGAAGAGUUUGUCCAUUUGGCUAUGUAUUUCAUGGGAGAUCAGUCAUUAUUGAUCAUAGUAUGCGCACAAAAAAAAAAAAAAAACAAAAAACAAAAAAAAAAUGAAAUGAUAGCGCAUUUUUCAUUUUAUUAUUCUCCAUUGGGCAUGUGUAUAGACGUGCUAGUUCGCUUCAUUGAGUUUAUGUGUUAGAGAGAGUUCGUAUGGGAACUUCUUCCUGAGAUUCUAUUUUAUUAUAUGUUAUGGGUGAUAGUAUGGAUCGCCUAUUCGAUUUUUGUGAGAGAGACGAGCGAUUUUUCUUUAGUAUCUUUGGAUCCUUGCUCUAUCCAUCAUUCUAUCUAUUUCGGAUGUGACUACUUUCCAUGCUUUGAUGCAGGUUGACCAUCACUCAUUUUUCUAUCUCUUUGCCUUUUUUUAUCUUUGUUUUAUUCCUCUAUUUCACUCUACCUCAUCUGAUUUCUUUCUUUGCUCAUCCUGUUCGAUGUUUGACUUGGGUUCAGCGUCCACACAUUAUACUUUCUUAUUUGACAUGUUCAUUCAUUUAUCAUCACUUUUUGUGUGGGCAUCCCUAGGUUCGGGACUCAUGACUUUUUCUACGCAUUGCAUCUCAUGCAUGAGGGGUAUGAGGAUUAUAUCAUUAGGAUCUUUAAGCCUAGUUUCCUUUCGUUUCCUUCACCCUAUUACCUUAGCCUAUGUUAUGUCCCGUGUCUUAAGACCACCUUGAGGUCAUGACUUCGCACAUUGUACUUGACAACUCACACAUGGGCUACACUUGAGAUUGGUCGGAGAUCAUUUCUUAGAGCAUGAUGGAUGAGGAGCUAUGAUAUGAUUUACACUGGGGCAUACCUCUCUUAUUAGUGAUGGAUUUUCGGAGGUGAUGUGAUCUACACUAGGGCAUACCCCGCUCAUCGAUGACAUUUUCUUUCGAGAUGAUGCUUUGCACUGAGGCAUAGUUAGUUUGCUUCUUCAUUUGGUUUAUGAUGGAUUGAGAGUUGUGGGAUGACCCUACACUGGGACAUAGCCAUUUCAGAGAGCGUUUUUAUUGGAGAUACAGUCAUUCUACUCGAUACUUUACAUUGUGACACACUCCUCUCAUUGAUGGUUGUUUUUUGAGAUGACGAUUUAUUUUGAGGCAUAGCCCUCUCAUCGAUGAUGGACUUUGAUUUAUCUUGGAGCAUAGUUGGUUCAAAUGGUUUAUACUGGGGCAUAGUCAGUUCAUUCGUACUCAUAAAGCUCAAAGAUUCUGAUUCAUAUGGAUUAUGUUGAGAUGUUUCCAUUUUUAGCAUCAGGAGUAGGGAUUGAUUGAUUUGCUCACCCAUACUAGGUAUGAUCUUUCUCAACAGUUGUUGACUCGAAUACAUUACUUUACACUGGGGCAUAGCCGGGAUGGAGAGUAUUUUUCAUUGGAGCAUAGACGCACUAUUAGAUCCUUUACACUAGGGCAUAUCCAUCUUUUGGAGAUAUAUCAUAUUGAUUCUUUACAUUGGAGCAUCUGAUGGGUGAUAUGGAGAUCAUUGGAUUAUUUCAUGUUGUCCUCAUUGCAUACUGAAGCAUAGCCACCUAGUUAAAUGUUUUGAUAUCAAGACUUGACUUUCUGUUUGUGAUUGCUGCUUUCGAUAGAUUAUGGAGCUAUUGACACCUUGGGUUUAGUCUUCUCGACAUACUUGGAUGAUCUCAGAUACUUACAUACCUUUCAUUUCAUACUUAGACAUUUCACCCUGGAUACUUUCAUGCCUUCUAUCUUACCAGAGCUUGAUCAUUACUUUCUUUUAUCCUACACAUCCCAUCCUGACAUAUGACCUCAUCCCUAUCUCGAUUAGGAGGAGACAUGGAUCAGUCCUCGAUCAUUUUGGUUGUGCUUUCAUACAUCUUUCGGACUUUAGGUUCAAUAUCUUCCAUGAUAGCAGGGCUUGACAGAUUGUUGACUUAUUAGUGACGAUGUUUUCACUUCGACAGUUGGCAUGUUGAGUGUUGAUUUGUUUGCACUUUGCAUUUUGAGUAUGGAUCAUCACUGUUUUAUUCAUCAGUUAGUCUUGUUUUGUUAGCAUGGUCUCACAAUACGUGGUCUUGUUUGGCAUUAACUAAAUGGGGUUGGACAUUUUCAUUACAUGAUGGAUGAGCAUAUUUCAGAGCAUAGUAGUUUUGAGGCAUUGUGUAUCCCAGUUUGUUCACUAUCACAUACUGGGGCAUACCCCCCAUUCUCCGAGGGCAUCGGACCUUCCAUAGGCUUCAUUCACCUUUUGAUUUAGUGGUUGACCCUUACGAGUUGCAUACUGGGACAUACUCUCAUUCCUUAGGAUCAUCAAACCUUUCCUGGCCGUUGGUUUCCUUUGACUUAGUUGGCGAUCCUCCUGAGUUGUCAUACUGGGGCAUAUUGACCGAAAUUUCUCUAUUGUACCAAAAUACUUAGCCUUUUUACGUAGUAACUCUGGUCAAGAAAAACUAGAGAAAGAGUCACUACGGCUUUUGUAGUAUUCCGGGUAUCGUUCUCAAGGACUGGCUUAUGAAAAUUGUCAAUACUAGAAUAAAUGAAUUGUUUUUGUUUAAAUCCUUAAGUGAAAAACAAUAUGUGAAUAAUGUGAAACUAAGUAAAAUAAAUUGGAUUAAUAAGAGAAAAUGAAUAUCGAUUUUAAAUUCAAUUGAUUCAAGUUUGGGGUUUUCCACAAUCCAACCUAGGGUAUAGAAAUUAUAGAAAACAAGGGUAUUUUAAGUAAUAUGAUCUUAGGGUUUUGGGAUCCUUGGCCACUCGCGAUCAAGUUGGGUUCUAUAACUCAAAAUUGCAUCCGAAACCUAAUUUUUCCUUUUUCAAACAGAUUCCUAAAACCAUCAAAUGAAUGAGAUUGAUUAUCAAUUUAAGAUUUGGCUUUUUAACCCUUCCUACUCCUUAUAGCUUUGUUUAGGGGCAAAUAACGGUAGGGAAAACGAGGAUAACUAAUGAUCAAGAAUUACCAAGAAUCACUAGUAUCAAGUAAUAACCUAUCGUAUCAUUCCCUAAACGAACUCACAAGGAUAGGAUAAAAAAUAUAAUAAAUUGUCACCCAACCAAUAAUUAAUCUCAUUGUUAUAGUAAUUUACCCAUUGUCCCUAUAGGUUUCCUAGCCCUUAGGUUUUCAUGCUUCAAGCCCCAAGUUGGCUCUUAGCCUCUCAUGGGGGUGAUGUCACAUUCACAAUCCAUAGUAGGGUAGAAAUCCAUAAUUUGAAUCAAAAUAAACUAAAAACAAUAUAUUCAAUAAAGAAGAAAAAGAAAACAAACCAAAGUUCUCGUCUUUUUCCUCCUUCAAUGUCAAAAACUCCAGAAAAAAAAUCCAAGAUCCAAGAUGCCUAAAACCUAGAAUUGAGAGAGUUUAUAUAAUAUCCUCACUUACCUAACAUGUGGCACACUCUCAUUGGCCACUUAUUACAAAAUAAUUUCCUAAAAAUGAUUAAAAAAAUAAUAAAAUUGUAAUUCCUAGUCAUGUGGGGUCCACCUAGGGCGGAUGGAGUGCUUUAGAUGCAAUUCCCGAGGUAGAGGAGGCGGAACAUCAAAGUGGCAGUGGGUGAAUUCGGAAUUGGUGUCAUUUCGAAGUGGAUUUCGAAUUCAUAAGUUGAAUUUCGAAAUCAUAAGUUGAAUUUCGAAAUCAUUUCGAAAUGACCCUCCAGCUUGGUGCAGUUGUCUUCAAAUGGCCAUAACUUCUUCAUUUCAGCUCCGAUUUGCAAACCGUUUGAAGUGUUGGACUCCUGACUUCCCGAGCUUCGAAAUGAUAUAUAGUAUGUAUAUAAUGGACUCCAGAAAGUGCUCCAAAUUUGUCCUCAAAGUCAAAGUAUAUAAUGCCAUCAGAUUUUUGAGUUCUAAAUUUCCAUGCAACUAAAUAUUGCUUCAUGCCUCAUUUCCCAUUCUUUCUUGCCUUCUUUCUUACUCCAUAAUGGUCAUUUAUCAUCCUCCAACCUCAUGAUAUCCUUGUUUUGCCUUUCCUUGCAUUCGAUGAAUCUUGACUCACUUAUUUCCUCAUUUAGCCCUUUCUUGAUCUUUCAAAAUCUAAAGUCAUUCAAUUUGCACAAUUUUCUUCCCUUGAACCUGAGAUAAAUCUCCAAAGUAUAGAUUAAACCCAUGGCUAGGGCCUUAGCAUUGAUUUAGGUCAAGUUGGGUGAUUUGAAUGUCCUUUGGUGCACAAAUCAUAUCGAAUAUGUGCCAUUAGAGCACAUAUUUUGGCUCCAAUCACAUAUCCCCUCCUGUCGAGUCUGCUUGCAUCAUCAUCUUAGUAUCCUCUGGCUUUAAGCCACUUGAACAAAUCAUUAUCCAUGUCAGUUUCAGUUUUUCGGGACCGCACCUAUAUCAAUCGGUCAUAUUUCGUGUUAGUUUGAGUUCAAGUCUUGGGGACCGCACCUAUAUCUAUCAGCCAUAUUCCUAUCAUUUCCAUGUCAGUUUAAGUUUUUCGGGACUACACCUAUAUCAAUCGGUCAUCAUCCUAUCAUUUUGAAUUUGUGUUUUCGGGACCGCACCUAUAUCGCUCGGUCAUUUUUCGUUUGAGUUUGUAUUUUCAAGGUCACACCCAUAUCGAUCGGUCAUUUUUCGUGUAAGUUUAAGUUUUCGGGACUGCACCUAUAUCGAUCGAUCAUCUUCCUGUCAUUUCCAUAUUAGUUUGAGUUUUUUAGGGUCGCACCUAUAUCGAUCGGUCAUUUUUCGUGUCAGUUUGAGUUCGAGUCUUGGGGGGUCGCACCUAUAUCGAUCGGCCAUCUUCCUGUCAUUUACAUGUCAGUUUGAAUUUUUCAGGGCCAUACCUAUAUCUAUCGGUCAUUUUUCGUGUCAGUUUGAGUUCAAGUCUUAGGGGUCACAUCUAUAUCGAUCGGUCAUCAUCUUGUUAGUUUGAGUUUGUGUUUUCAGGACUGCACCUAUAUCGAUCGGUCAUCAUCUUGUUAGUUUCAGCUUGUGUUUUCAGGACCUCACCUAUAUCGAUCAAUCAUCAUCUCGUCAGUUUGAGUUUGUGUUUUUCAGGACCGCACCUAUAUCGAUCGGUCAUCAUUUUGUCAAUUUAAGUUUGUGUUUUGAGGGUCGUACCCAUAUCGAUCGGCCAUAUUCUUAUCUGUUUGUGUUCAAUUAGAGUCAAGGCCGCACCCAUAUCGAUCGACCAUAUUUCUAUUAGUUUGUGUUCAGUUUGAGUCGGGACCACACCUAUAUCGAUCGGUCAUUCAUCAUUUUGUCAGUUUCAAUUUGAGUCAGGACCGCACCUAUAUCGAUCGGUCAUCUUUCGUGUUCAGUUUGAAUCAAGGUUGCACCUAUAUCGAUCGGCCAUUUUCAUAUCAGUUUGUGUUCAGCUUGAGUCGGGGCCGCACAUAUAUCGAUCAACCAUCUUCUUAUCAGUUUGUGUUUAGUUUGAGUCGGGACCGCACCCAUAUUGAUCGGUCAUUCACCUUGUCAAUUUAGUCUUGGGGGUCGCGCCUAUAUCGAUCAGCCAUCUUCCUGUCAUUUCUGUGUCAGUUUGAGUUUUUCGAGACCGCACCUAUAUCGAUCGAUCAUUUUUCGUGUUAGUUUGAGUUUUCGGGACCACACCUAUAUUGAUCGACCAUCUUCUUGUCAAUUUGUGUUUAGUUUGAGUCGGGACCGCACCCAUAUCGAUCAGUCAUUCAUUCUUCCUAUCAGUUCAGUUCAACGUCCAAGGUCUUUAUUCAGUACGAUAUUUAGAGCCACAUCUUCAGUUUUAGCGUUCAGAGCCAUUGUGCAUACUCAUCCAGGCAUUUUGGAUCACCAUUGUUCCUUUAUUCUAGGCGUUCAGAGUCAUUCUCUUCACUUGGUCACCUGGUGCUCAUUGUUUGUUCAUCAUGCUCUUUUAGACUACCCCUUCCACUACACAUGGCACAGUCCUUUGAGUUCACGACACAUAUUUCAGCCAUGUUGUUAAACACCCUACGCCUAGCAUUCUCAUGUAGUUCACAUAGGGAGUCUCCUUUGGAUGUGUUCUUUCUUGUACUUUAGGGUGGUUCGACUGUUACUCAUCUUUGACAUUGAUCUUCGAGUCACUUUUGGAGACGUCUUAGAGGGAGAUUGUGUCCUUAGUGUGGCUUUAAAGGCGCUUUGAGAUAUCCACUUUUCUCUUAGGAUUACAACUUUUUUUUUUCAUCUAUUGGCUUGAGUGAGUUUUUGUUUCACUAGUGUCCUUUCGGGGGUCUCAUUUGUUCUUCGGUAGAGUUUGCUUCAUUCCACUCACUAUUCACACUUUCUUUUCACUUUAGUGUUCAUAUUCCUUACAUUCGUGAAUUCUACCGAAUAGGGACAUAUUUGUAGACCCCCAUUUCUUUUGACUCUCAGUUUUUUCCUGCCAUCUUUGAGGAACAGUUAAGGGGGACGGCUUGGAGGUAGAGCUGCAAGGGACACGUGGCUGUGGAGGUGACCAUUGCCAUGGUGGUGGUUGGGGCUCUAGAAAAUGUUGAGCAGUGAACAAGAGAGUGGUUAGGGGCUUCCAGGUGAAGACUAGAGAGCUCUAGAGGAAGGGGGAUUUUUUUUUCUCGGGUAGCCUAAGGGAAGCUGAAAACAAAAGCUUGAGAGAUGAUAGAAAAGGAAGAGGUCUUCAUUUUUUUUGGAAGGAGACAGUUGGGUAAAAAAGAAGGAGUGGCUCGCCAAGUAUGUUUGAUGUUUCCGUUGACUUCUAUGCUGCUCAUAUGCUUACCAUUACUAUUUUUUUUUAUUGGAUUUUAUUAUCCAUGCCAGUUUCGGAUUGAGGUUAUUGAGGCUUAGUUCUGGCUUGCUCUGUUUCAUAUUGAUUGUUUUUCAUUUGAAUCUGUUGGUGUUCGAUUUUUUAUUUAUUUAUUUAUUUUAUUUCUUUCCAUUUUCGUAUGUUUGUUCUAUGUUCUUUUUCUCCUCCAAACUCACCUCUCAUCUUCAUCAUACCCAUUACCAAUCUCCUCCUCUGAACCCACACCGAACUCAGUCUUACUCGCCGUGAAGAUGAUGUUUAAACAGAUUGUUUCUCAUGCAAAAUCUGGGGUGAAACUUAAAGCUUUUGAGGGAAAAUUUUUGGUGCGGCGUCGAAGAUCGGUAAGUUGACGCUCAAGACGAAGAAAAUGCUAGCUUUGAUUUUGGUUUGAAUCCCAAUUGAGGAGCUGCCACAGACCAUUCAUUUGGACUGUAAAUCCUAGUGGUCCGUCGUCGCCGAACCCCACUGCUAGUUGGAUACCGAUGUAAAAAAUUGGUGUUGCCAUUGGAAAUGCUUCGACUGAGUGGAUACCAAUUCACGUUUUCAAAUACUGAUUUUUAAAACUUAGGUUUUUAAAUCUAAUUUCCAAAAUCUCAAUUCUCAACUAAUUUUUCAAAAAUUCCAAAAUGUUUUCAAAUAAUUUUUAAAACUCCAAUUUCUUUCAAAAAUUAAUUUUUAAAAUUCCAUUUCUUAAAUUUAAUUUUUAAAAUUCCAAACUCUUAAAUAACUUUUAAAAUUCCAUUUUCUUUCAAAUUUAAUUUCCAAUUUUUAAAUUUAAUUUUCAAAACUCUCAUUUUCGAUUUUUUUUAAAAUUCCUAUCUUUUUAAAUUUAAUUUUUAAGACUCCAACUUUCAAAUUUUUUUUUAAUUCCAUUUUUAAAUGUAAUUUUUAAUGAUUUCAAUUUUCAAAACUCCAAUUUUCUUUCAAAUAGUUUUAAUUCUGCUCCAUUUUUCAAUUUUUUUUAAUUUACAAAUUUUCUUUGAUUUUCAAUUUUUAUUUUAUUUAUUUAUUUUUUUAAAAUCAUAAAUGAUUUUUUCAUAAUUCCAAACUAAUGGAAUUUGUGAGAUUAAUUCAUGCAAAAUCAAUCGGGCUUUGGUGGGGGCCCUAAAUAUUAAAAUUUCUCUUCUGAUUGUUAAUUGAUAUGCCUAAUGAAUAUUGUUUGAUUUUUGUUCUGAUCUUUGACACGUAUGUGAUAAUUUUACACUUGAGCUGACAUCGUUUGCAUGAUUGUGCACUAUUAUUUGUUGCAAAGGUAUGAUCUCUCCUAUACUUUGUUUAUUCCACUCUAUGACAUGCACGCGAUUAUUCUGUGUUUAAUUGCUAACAUUUGUUUUCAUUGAAGUAAACCGGUCCAUCAUUCAGGUACAUUCUUUGCCUCUCUUAUUCAUUCAAUUAUUUUGUUUUGAGUGAUAUUCAUUUGGUAUCCAUGCUCGAUUAAUCAAUUGUCAUAAUUGCUGCAUUUUAUUAGUAGAGACCCGUUUUAAAGACUUAGAGGGAUCGUACCUUCCUGAUAAGUAACCUGACCCCCGAACCCGAUCCGGUUUUUCGCAAACCACCUUUUCCAAAUAAAGAGUCACACUUAGGGUUUUUUUCAUUAUUUUUUUUACCCUUUAAAAAUAAAACAAAAAUCGAGCUCGCCAUCAAGUGGAAGUGCAUGAGUCGAAAUACAGGGUCCACAGUUGUCUACACAAUUCAUUUAUAAAUAUUACUUUCGCUAGUUAAAUAAUUUUCCCUACCGGUGAUCAUAACAUUUUUAUGACAUUGAUUGACAAUUGCCUUUUAAAUAUGGAAAUUGUUUUUUUGGUAAAGACAAUGUCCCCUCCAAAUAACUUUCAACUAUAUUUGUUUAAAGUGUUGUAAAUUUUAAAAUAUUUUUUAAAUUAUAAUAUUUUUAAAAAAUUUAAAUUACUACAUUUUUCUCAAAAUCUCCCGCCAAGAAAUGGAGUACUUGUCAGCUUUCACAAACUCAAAAUCUUUUUGAAUUCAGAAAAAGGCGGAAAGAAAGUGGAAAUAAUUGAAGAGUGCAUACCGGACAUUAAUAAUGGAGAAUGGCUGAGUGGGCCUGUACCUCAGCACUGCUGUUGGUUUUCAAUUAUUGAAACGGACAAGAGAUAAAUGCAUGAAAAAUAAUUGUCCUCCAAGAACUAACUUCUUAAAAUGAUGAACUUUGAAGAAUUUCUUUUGCUUUAAUGGCCAAAAAAUGUUCUUGGAUGAAAUCUUACUUUAUAUAUAUCUACUCAGAUAAUUGUAAUAAAAGUAUCUAUCUUGAAAAAGGAAAAAAAAAAAAAAAAAAUCUUGCAAGUUUGAGUAAUAUUUUUAAAAUUAGGUUAAAUUGUUAGUUGCAUGUGGGAUUUGAUUCACAUUUUUCAUCAUUGGACUGGUUUUUUAUAUUCAAGUGGAUUGAUUUGACCCUACUCAAUAAAAUGAGAAUUAGAUGAAGUUUUUGGAAGUUUUAAAAUUAUUGCCAUAUAAUAAUAAUAAUAAUAAUAAUAAUAAUAGUAAUAAAAUCUUUUCUCCAUGAAAAAAACUAAAAGAACAUGUUUUUUUUUAAAAAAAAGUUACUUUCUUUGAAUUUAUUUUAUUUAUUUUGAUGAAAAACAAAAAUUAAUAUAUUUGUAUUAUAAAAAAAAAAUAAUUAUUGUAGUUUCAUUUAUGACUUGGAUAAAGAAUUCGUUAAUAAAAUAAUCGAUUUAGAUUUUGAACAUUUCAUAAGAUAAUUGAAGAUAGAUNNNNNNNNNNNNNNNNNNNNNNNNNNNNNNNNNNNNNNNNNNNNNNNNNNNNNNNNNNNNNNNNNNNNNNNNNNNNNNNNNNNNNNNNNNNNNNNNNNNNNNNNNNNNNNNNNNNNNNNNNNNNNNNNNNNNNNNNNNNNNNNNNNNNNNNNNNNNNNNNNNNNNNNNNNNNNNNNNNNNNNUUUUUUUUUUUUUUUUUUUCUUUUCCAAAACGCGUAACAUUUCAACUUUCUUUAUUAAAUAUCCUUUAAGGGUCACUCGCUUUUUAACUUUUUCUAAAGUGUUUUAUUUUCUAACGUGUAAAGGAGGUUUGUGUGGGGCUCAUCUUUUAAAAUAUUUCAAGCUUUAUUUGCUUGUUUUCUUUUUGUAUUUAUUUUGUUUUGUUUUGUUUUUUUUCUUUUUUGAGGUGGUUACCAUGUAUCGAAGUCGCUUUCAAAUUUUCAAUUACGUACCAUACUAUUCACAAGAAUAUACAAUUAUUAUUUCCAAUUUAGAAUUUUUAUAUCAAAAUCAAGUAAUAGCAUUACAAAAUGAAUAAAAUAUAAAUAAAAAUGAUAAAAUCUAAAAUUAAUGAAAUAUCAAUAAAAUAAAUAAUAAAACUAUAUUUCAUUCUUUAAUAUACAAACUAUCUUAAUAAAAAUUAAACACUAUAAUGUAUCUAAUAAAAUAAUUUUUUUUUAAUGUAUUUAUAUUUUAUAAUGUGAUAGUAUUAAAAAUAAAAAAAUUGAAGUUUUUUAAUCAUUUAUUUAUGUAUAAUUUUAAUAUGAAUCAUACAUUUAUGAUAUCAUCUUGCAUCAUGAUUUAAUCAUCAUUUCCUGAUCCGAUUUCUCUUCAACUUUGUUUGAUCAUUCCAAAUGUAAACAUUGAGCUUGCGACUGUUUAUGGUAAGCCCUUUAUUUAAUUUAUUUUGGAUAAGAAGAUAAACAAGCUUUAUUUCAAUACUUUUGUCUACUUUUGGCCAAUCGUGCAGAAAGUCAGCACUUCAUGUGGCCUACUGACAUCUUAUCGGAUCUGGAACGAACCCUACUGGGACCAUUGAAAUCCAACUUUUAAUAUCUCUGUCUGUACGAUUUCUUAGCAACAGAUCAGAUACAGUUUUAUAAUAAAAUAUGGUUUUAGGGCAUGUGAAGCUUUGUGAAACACGAGGUGCAGCUGGCAGUAUGGAAAGUUUCAUCGUUAUGGAUUGGAUUCUCCUGUCAAAUACACAGUUCUAACUCGAGCAAUUUAAUCAUAGAGGACUGCAUUUAUAUACUUUGAAAACUCUUUACGAGAUAAAUCAAUCUUAUGUACAUAACUACUAUGGAUUAACCUAUGCUUCACUCUUGAAAAUUUUGAAAGAAAAGAUGAGAAAAAGAAAAUAAAAAAAAAAAAGAAAAUAAAAAAUUGAAGUUAAUAUAUUAUUUUACAUGUUUUUGUUAAAUUAUUUUACCAAUUUUUUUCUUUUAUAUAUAAAGAAUAAGUAGUUUGAAAAUGUUUAAAGUUUUUUCAGCAAUGUUUUCAAAAAUAUUUAUGAAAAAACAAUUUUUUAAAAUUGUUCUUAAAACGGGUUUCAAUUGUUUUUAGCCAAAAAAUUUUGUUUGAAAACUUAUGUACAAUGUAAAAGUUUUUGAAGUAUUGUUUACAUCAUUUAUAAUUGUUGCUCAAUAUGUUUAUCAAAAAACAAUUGCAAACAUUUCAAAUCUUGAUUUUUCUUAUGACAUGAUAAAUAAUGUUUUCUAGGUAUAUAAUAAACACCUCGAAAUAAUGUUUUUAGCUUAUAGCCAUGAAAAAAAGGAAAUUUAUGGUUUGUUGAGUCAUUCAAAGAAUCAUGUCAAUGGGAAAUUGUGUUCAUUGGGAGUUAUAAAUUGAAGUUAUAGAAGACACUUCAUGAAAUGAGAAAGACUCAAGGCUUUCUUCUUAUUAAUACUAAGUUAAGCAAGUCUCAUAUUACAACGUAGACAUUGUUUUCAUGGUGAAGAUCUUGAAGAUCCUCACACUAAUACUAAUUAAAGAUACCAAACUCUAGACAAUGGCAAAAACCACCUAGUAGCUGGGAUUAUAUUUUUUAUUUUUAGAGGAAUUUCUUGAACCAAUAAGUAGAAUGCUUUGGGUAUCGCUUUAAACCAUUUUUAUAAUCCACAUAACCAAGGCCAAAGCGAAAGGUGAAACCAGCAUCCCAUUCAAAGUCGUCAAGAAAAGACCAUGCAAAGUAUCCUUUCACAUUGACGCCCUCCCUGCCAAAAUUGCAUAUAUACAUGCACCAUAUUAGUAAUAAUAUUUUAGUACUUCGAAAAAAUCUCAAAAUUAAGAUGACCUAAUAUAUGUAUUACUGCAAGCUAGGCCUCAAUUUUGUAAAUUCCAACCUCGAUGAAGGCAAGAUUUGAUUUCAAGUAUCUAGUACAAUACCCUACAAACUUCAAGAUUAGACCUAAUGCAAUGUAAUAUCUUAAUUAAAUAUUUCAUAUUCUUAUUAUUAGAUUAUUAAUUUGACUUAAAAGCUUAACUUAUCACAUGUGAGCUUAAAUGAGAUAAACUUUAUAUAUUAUGCCAACAUACUUAGGUUAAAACCCUAACACUCACAUAACCCAUGGAUGUUGCUUAUGUGAGCUAAAUUUAAUUACUCACUUGAUAGCUUUUGAGAGAUAGUACAAAUGUCCACGGUGGUAUGUUAUCCUCAAGGUAUCAUUGAGAUCUUCCUUCACAGGCACUGAACCAUUAUUUGCAGUAGCCAAUCCUGCACAAGACCAUAUAACGCAUUAGUUUGAAUCAUAUUAAAAUGAAAUCAAAAUAUUGUUCCAUGACUUAAAAACAAUAUAAGUUGAUAAUCGAUUCAUUAAGCCUACCAUUCUCUGUGAUGUAAAUAGUUGGAUUGUUGUAAUGUUCCUUGAUGUAAAGCAUAUGUUUUUUGAUUCCCCAUGGACAAAUGUAAAGCCAAUUCAACGGGGUCUACAAAAUCACACACCAUAGAUCACUUAGUAAUGAAUUCAUGAAUUCAUAUAGGUUAUGUCUGGUUCCUAAAACAUAUUAAAAAAUAAAAUAAAAUACUAAAAAAAAGUCAAUUUUUUUCAUGUUUAAUUAUACUCUGGAAAAUAUCAAAGAAAUUAAAUAUAAUUAAAAUUAAUUAGAAAACUUAUAUAUUUUAAUUUUUUUAAUUUUUAUAUUGAAAAGUCAAAAUAAGUAAAAUAAACUUCAAGUAAUAUAUAAAAAUAAUUUAUUGGUUUAAUUUUUUUUUUUCAUUCUAUUUUUUCUCUUUCUUUUUUUUAUAUAUUAUUUUUUUUUUUUUGCAUAUUCCCUCAAUUUUUUUGAGGAACCAAACAUAACCUUGUAUAUCUAAGGACAGAGACAUUGCCGGUUGGCCAAUGUUAACCCCAUCUUUCUCCGCUAUAGCCAUAGAAAAAAUAAAAAGGGUUUAGUCACCUAAAGGCAAAGCAUGAAGGAGAACACGAAUCAUAGUUGAGCUCAUAAGAUUGAGUUUUUCAAGCUUACUGGUUAGGUUGAGUCGGCCAUCUAGUGCCCAGCUUAGCUCCAAGGUGUUUACUGCUGAUGCAUAGGUAGUAGCGUAAUUCGAAGUGUAGUAAUUAAUUCCUAAGAAAUCCAAUGAUCCCUUGAGCAUUUCGGAUUCUGCUGGCGAGAAUUUGGGGAGUCGAUGCCCCACAAGAGAUUGCAUGGUCAUUGGGUACUCGCCAUAUGUGAUUGGAUGUAAAAACCUAAAAAAAAGAAUGAAAAAAUUCAUAUAAAAGUUAAUCAAUGAGUUGCCUACACAGUUCAUUCAUAAACAUUACUUUCGCUAGUUAAACAAUUUACCCUACCAAUGGUCAUAAUAUUAAUUUAUUGAUUCAUAGCAUAUAUUGUUAUUUUCCAAUUGUGCCAAUAUCAAUAAUGGGUUUUCAUUGUUACUAAAGAUCUAUCAAAAUGUGAAUGUCAUUUGGCAAAUCAUUGUAACACUUAAAGAUUCCAUGCAUGCAAUACUCUUAGUUUUUCUUAAUGCAUUCAAAAUCUAGUUAUUGUUACAAUCAAAAAAUGAUUACGUCAAUAUGAAUAGAAAAAAAUGAGGCAAUUAUCUAAAAAGGUCUCAACUACAUUUCUUGAUUUUUGAAUUAAUAUGAUCUUGAAGAUUACAAGUUGUAUAUAAAUUGGCACAUAUUCGAUAGUUAAAAAAAUAUACACUUUGAUGCCGAAGAACCCUAAUAUUUAACUAGGAUAGAUAGCAUUGAUGACAAAAAAUGUUGUCAUGUAAAUGUUUUAAAUGCUUUCACAUGGUUAUGGGUUUUCAAAAUAACCAUUUUUUUAUGACAUUGAUUGACAAUUGUCUUUUAAAUAUGGAAGAAGUUUUUUUCGUAAAGACAACUUCAAGAUUUAAUUGAAGUUGUCCCCUCCAAAUAACUUUCAACUAUAUUUGUUUAAAGUGUUGUAAAUUUAAAAAUAUUUUUUAAAUUAUAAUAUUUUAAAAGAAAAUUAAAUUACUAUAUUUUUCUCAAAAUCUCCCGCCAAGAAAUAGAGUACUUAACAGUUUUCACAUGCUCAAAAUCUUUUUGAAUUCAGAAAAAGGCCAAAAGAAAGUGGAAAUAAUUGAAGUGGAUUGAUUUGACCGUACUCAAUAAAGUGAGAAAUAGAUAAGUAGUUUUUGAAAGUUUUAAAAUUACUUAAAAUUAUUACCAUAUAAUAAUAACAAUAAUAAUAAAAUCUUUUCUCCAUGGAAAAAACUAAAAGAACAUAUUUUUUUUUAAAAGUUAUCUUUUUUGAAUUUUAGUUAUUUAUUUUGAUGAAAAACAAAAGUUAAUGCAUUUAUAUUAUAAAAAUAAAAUAUUUAUUAUUUUAUGUAGUUUCAUUUAUGACUUGGAUAAAAACCUUGUCAAUAAAAUAAUCGAUCUAGAUUUCGAACAUUUCAUAAAAUAAUUUGAAGAUAGAUAGAAUCGAUGGGCUGGAUUGACCAUUCUCUUUUUUUUUGUUCUUUUCUUCUUUUUUUAUUUUUUAUUUUCCCAAAACGUGUAACAUUGUCUUUCAAAAGGGUCACUAGCUUUUUUACUUUUUCUAAAGUGUUUUAUUUUCUAAUGUUUAAAGGAGGUUUGUGUGGGGCCCAUUUUUUUUAAAUAUUUCAAGCUUUAUUGCUUGUUUUUUUGUUUUGUUUCUUUGUUUUUUGGUUUUUUUUUUUUUUUUUUUUUUUUUUUGAGGUGGUUACCAUGGAGGAAAAUAUCGGGAUAUAUCGGCGAUAUAUCGCCGAUAUAUCUUGUAUCGGGAGGAGGCGACACGAUAUUUCAUGGAGAAAAAUCGGAGAGGAGAUAUUUCCGUAAAUAUCGCCAAAAUAUCGGCGAUAUAUCGGCGAUAUAUCGGUUCGGGGAGAUAUAUCGGAGAUUUUUUCAAAAAAUCUCCUCUGGUGGCAAAAAAUCGGAGAUAUAUCGAUGAUAUAUCGGAGAUAUAUCGGUGAUAUAUCGGUGAUAUAUCGGAGAUAUAUCGGUGAUUUUUUGGUGAUAUUUCCCCUCCUUUAUGCAACGUGAUCUGACGGCCCAGAUCACGCCCGUGUUGAUCCGACGGUCUAGAUGUGAUUCCAAUGGUAAUAUGGCGAUCCAACGGCCCGAUUGCUCCUAGUUUUUUAUCCAAUGGCUAAAAUUGAUUUUCAACAGUAAAUUAAUGUUCCAACGGCUAUUUUGGCCCAAAUUUCUUCUAUAAAUAACCCAAAUUUCAUCUAUUUCAUCCAUUUUUGCUUUCAUUCUUCAUUUGCUCUCUCAUUACUCCAAUUUUUAUUAAGGUUGCUCAAUUAUUUAAUUAUUUUAAGGUAUAUUUGUUUUAAAUUAUAAUUAAUUUUGUUUGCAAUUGUAAUUAAUUCAUGUAUUUUCAAUUAAUUAGUAUGUUUGCAAUAUGGAUGAUUUAAUGCUAUUUUUACAUUCAAUUGUAAUUAAUUUUUAUAUUUUUACUGAAUUAACUUAGGUUGAUUUGAUUAUUUAAUUAUAAAUUGAUAUGUUUAUUUUAGAUGAUUAUUUGUGAUUUAUUUUCACAUUUAAAAUUAAAUUAAACUAGUUAACUUAGCUAAAUUAUUUAAUUAAUUUAAUUAACAUGCUAAAUUAUUUAAUUAAUUUAAUUAACAUGAAAUAAUAUAUUUUGAAUAUGAAAUAUGUUUAUUUAAUGAAUUUAAUGUGUACAAAUUAUUGAUAUUUAAUGAAAUGAAAUAUUUUAUGUGACUUUAUAAUGAGAACAAUUACAAAAUUAACAUUUCUUAUAAAUCGACAUGAUGUAAUUACAUCUAAUAUCGCAAAUUAUAUCAUAUAUAUAUCAAAUUUUUCAAUAAAACAACAUUAAAAUGUCAAUUAUACUUCUAAUUAUAUUAUUAUGAGGUUUUUCUUGCAUUUUCAUGAGUUUUUAACAAUUUUAAGUCUACCAAUAUUUUUUUCCAGAAUAUCCGCCGAUAUAUCUCCGAUAUAUCCGAUAUAUCCGUAAAAUCGAAGUACCGAUAUAUCCGUGAUUACCGAUAUUUUCUUCCAUGGUGGUUACCAUGUAGUGAAGUCGCUUUCCAAUUUUCAAUUACAUACAAUAAGAUUCACAAGAAUACACAAUUAUUAUUUCCAAUUUAGAAUUUUUAUAUCAAAAUCAAGUAAUAGCAUUACAAAAUGAAUAAAAUAUAAAUAGAAAUGAUAAAAUCUAAAAUUAAUGAAAUAUCAAUAAAAUAAAUAAUAAAACUAUAUUUCACUCUUUAAUAUACAAACUAUCUUAAUAAAAAUAAAACACUGUAAUUUUGUAUUUAAUAAAAUAAAUUUUUUUAAUGUAUUUAUAUUUUAUAAUAUGAUAGUAUUAAAAAUAAAAAAUUUUAAGUUUUUAAAUCAUUUAUUUAUGUAUAAUUUUAAUAUGAAUCAUACAUUUAUGAUAUCAUCUUGCAUCAUGAUUCAAUCAUCAUUUUGUGAUCCGAUUAUUUAAUUUAUUUUGGAUAAGAAGAUAAACAAGCUUGAUUUCAAAACUUUUGGCUACUUUUGGCCAAUCAUGCAGAAAGCCAGCACUUCAUGUGGCCUACUGACAUCUUAUCGGAUCUGGAAUGAAUCCUACUGGGACCAUUGAAAUCCCAAGUUUUAAUAUCUCUGUUACGAUUUCUUAUAGCAACAGAUCAGCUACAGUUUUAUAAUAAAAUAUGGUUUUAGGGCAUGUGUGAAGCUUUGUGAAACACGAGGUGCGGCUGGCAGUAUGGAAAGUUUCAUCUUGAUGGAUUGGAUUCUCCUGUCAAAUACACAGUUCUACUCAAGCAAUUUAAUCAUAGAGGACUGCAUUUAUAUACUUUGAAAACUCUUUACGAGAUAAAUCAAUUUUAUGUACAUAACUACUAUGGAUUAACCUAUGCUUCAUUCUUGAAAAUUUUGAAAGAAAAUAAAUAAAUAAAUAAAAAGAAGAAAAAAAAAAUUGAAGUUAGUAGAUUAUUUUACAUGUUUUUUUUUAAUUAUUUUACCUAUUUUUUUCUUUUAUAUAUAAAGAAUAAGAAAUUUGAAAAUGUUUAAGGAUCUUUUCAGCAAUGUUUUCAAAAAGAUUUAUCAAAAAACAAAUUUUUAAAAUUGUUCUUAAAAUGGGUUUCAAUUGAUUUUAUGCAAAAAAAAAUUUGUUUGAAAACUUAUGUACAAUUUAAAAGUUUCUGAAGUAUUGUUUACGUCAUUUUCAAUUGUUGCUCAAUAUGUUUAUCGAAAAACAAUUGCAAACAUUUCAAAUCUUGUUUCUUCUUAUGACAUGAUAAAUAAUGUUUUCUAGGUACAUAAUAAACACCUCGAAAUAAUGUUUUUAGCUUAUAGCCAUGAAAAAAUGGAGAUUUAUGGUUGGUUGAGUCAUUCAAAGAAUCAUGUCAAUGGGAAAUUGUGUUCAUUGAGAGCUAUAAAUUGAAGUUAUAGAAGACACUUCAUGAAAUGAGAAAGACUCGAGGCUUUCUUCUUAUUAAUACUAAGUUAAGCAAGUCUCAUAUUACAACACAUAGGCAUUGUUUUCAUGGUGAAGAUCUUGAAGAUCCUCUUUUAGCACACUAAUACUAAUUAACGAUACCAAACUCUAGACGAUGGCAAAAACCACCUAGUAGCUGGGAUUACAUGUUUUAUUUUUGGAGGAACUUCUUGAACCAAUAAGCAGAAUGCUUUGGGUAUCGCUUUAAACCAUUUUUAUAAUCCACAUAACUGAGGCCAAAGCGAAAGGUGAAACCAGCAUCCCAUUCAAAGUCGUCAAGAAAAGACCAUGCAAAGUAUCCUUUCACAUUGACGCCCUCCCUGCCAAAAUUGCAUACAUACAUACACUAUAUUAGUAAUAAUAUUCUAGUACUUCGGAAAAAUCUCAAAAUUAGGAUGACCUAAUAUAUGUAUUACUGCAAGCUAGGCCUCAAUGUUAUAAAUUCCAACCUCAAUGAAGGCAAGAUUUGAUUUCAAGAAUAUAGUACAAUACCCUAAAAACUUCAAAACUAGACUUAGUGCAAUGUAAUAUCUUAGUUAAAUAUUUCAUAUUCUUAUUAUUAGAUUAUUAAUUUGACUUAAAAGCUUAACUUAUCACAUGUGAGCAUAAAUGAGAUAAACUUUAUAUAUUAUGCCAACGUGCUUAGGCUAAAACCCUAACACUCACAUAACCCAUGGAUGUUGCAUAUGUGAGCUAAAUGUAAUUACUCACUUGAUAGCUUUUGAGAGAUAGUACAAAUGUCCACGGUGGUAUGUUAUCCUCAAGGUAUCAUUAAGAUCUUCCUUCACAGGCACUGAAGCAUUAUUUGCAGUAGCCAAGCCUGCACAAGACCAUAUAACGGAUUAGUUUGAAUCAUAUUAAAAUGAAAUCAAAAUAUUGUUCCAUGACUUAAAAACAAUAUAAGUUGAUAAUCAAUUCAUUAAGCCUACCAUUCAUUCAUUAAGCCUACCAUUCUCUGUAAUGUAAAUAGUUGGAUUGUUGUAAUGUUCCUUGAUGUAAAGCAUAAGUUUUCUGAUUCCCCAUGGACAAAUGUAAAGCCAAUUCAACGGGGUCUACAAAAUCACACACCAUAGAUCACUUAGUAAUGAAUUCAUGAAUUCAUAUAGGUUAUGUCUCAUUCCCAAAACAUAUUAAAAAAAAAAUACUAAAAAAAUGUCAUUUUUUUUUUUCAUGUCUAAUUAUCCUUUGAAAAUAUCAAAGAAAUUAAAUAUAAUUAAAAUUAAUUAGAAAACUUAUAUUUUUUUAUUUUUAAAAUUUUUAUAUUGAAAAGUCAAAAUAAGUAAAAGGAACUUCAAGUAAUAUAUAAAAAUAAUUUAUUGGUUUUAUUUUUUAUUUUUUAUUUUUUUCCUUCUAUUUUUCCUCUAUUUUUUUUUAUAUUUUAUUUUUUUUGCGUCUUCCCUCAAAUUUUUUGAGGAACCAAACAUAACCUCAAAUGUCUAAGGACAGAGAUACUACCGGUUGGCCAAUGUUAACCCCAUCUUUCUCCGCUGUAGCCAUAGAAAAAAUAAAAAGGGUUUAGUCACCUAUAGGCAAAGCAUGAAGGAGAACAAGAAUCAUAGUUGAGCUCAUAGAUUGAGUUUUUCAAGCUUACUGGUUAGGUUGAGUCGGCCAUCUACUGCCCAGCUUUGCUCCAAGGUGUUUACUGCUGAUGCAUAGGUAGUGGCAUAAUUUGAAGUAUAGUAAUUAAUUCCUAAGAAAUCCAGUGAUCCCUUAAGCAUUUCGGAUUCUGCUGGCGAGAAUUUGGGGAGUCGAUGCCCCACAAGAGAUUGCAUGGUCAUUGGGUACUCGCCAUAUGUGAUUGGAU